AAAAGAUCUCUUUAUAAUGUAAAGUAAGAAGGGUUUCUUAUCAAUCAAGGCAGAUAGGUUCUGAGCAGUCACCUCCUAAAGCAGUCCCUUUUUUAUGGCGGUUUGGCUCUUUUUUUUUUUUUUUUUUUUUGUAUUUUCUGAAUGGUUCCCUGUUUCCUGCUCUAAUUUAGAAAGCGUGAUCCGUGAAUUCCUUGAGAGAUGGUGUAUUGAUUUGGAGCAAAAUCUCGAACACAGAUGGGUUUUUGAUCUUCAAUUGGCAGUGUUUCAGAGACGUCCCUCUCACAUUUUAAACUUUAGUUGGAAUUGCUGACUUUUUCAAAGUUGAGCAAUCACGUGGGUGUGUCUUUGAUCCCUUGGGUUUGAACCUAACAAAAAUUACGGGCUGAUCUUUGAAGCCCAUUUCGAAAGUUUCCACAUUUGGGCUUUCUUUGGGCUGAGGCUUCGUUUUCAACAUUUCUGGUGUGAAGCCCAAUCUGUCUGGAUCCUAUUUUUUUAUUUUUCUCAAGUCUUUGGGCUGGGCAGGCAAUUUUAUCAUGGGCCUGUCUUUUGGAUUUGGGCGUGCCGAAUUUGGGCCCAAACAGGAACUCAAAAUUGGACUUUCGAAAACUGCAUUGCAGUUUUGGUAAUUACAAUUGGAUUUUUGCUCUUUCCUUGGCCUUCAACCUCACCAAUUUGAAGAGUAGAGGCUACCCAUAUGAGGAAUUUGGUGGGUAAGAGAAGAGUAGAACUACCCAAGAGCGACGUAACUCAAAAUUGGACUUUUAGAAACUGCAUUGCAGUUUUCAUUUAAUUACAAUUGAAUUUUUGCUCUUUCCUUGGCCUUCAACCUCACCAAUUUGAAGAGUAGAGGUUACCCAGACGAGGAAUUGGGUGGGCAAGAGAAAAGUAGAACUACCUAAGAGCAAGGGAACUCGAAAUUGGACUUUUGGAAACUGGAAACUGUAUUGUAGUUUUCAUUUAAUUACAAUUGUUUUUGUAGCUGUUUUUAUUUUUGUUUUUAUUUUUAACAUAAUUGAUAUCUACAUUGUAUUUUUGUUGUAGUUUCUCUUUUUAUUUGCAGUUUUUGUGUGAAUAAGUGUUGCAAUGAUUUUUAUUUUUAUUUUUAAAAAUCGUUGAUUGUUUAUAUAAAUAUUGUAUAAUCGAAUAAAUAUUGCAAAAUCAAGUUUGGUGUAGUGGUUUGUGAGUGAGCCUUACUCUUUUGAGGGUCAAGGUUCGAGUCCAUUCAAUGACACAAAAUCUUUUUUUCAAAGGUGAAUAAAGAGCAACGGAGGCAGACGGUGGCAGGCCGUCGACGGGUGGUGGUGGCCGGCGACGAGAAUACGGUGGUGGCGGCUGGCGACAGGAGUUUGGCAGUGGUGGCCUACGGCAGGAUUCGGAGACGGUGGCCUACGGCAGGAUUCGGCGACGGUGGCCGGCGGUGGUGGUUGGUGGUGAGAUUCCGACGGUGGUGGUUGGCUAGAUAUGAACAUGUGGCAUAAUAUUAUUGCCUUAGAAGGAGUGGCAUUUUGUGUAAUUUUGAUAUUUUUUUAAUGAUAUUUUUGUUAAAUUAGGUAUUACAUUUGGUCUUUGGCCUUAUACUAAUUAGAUGAAAUUGUAUUCGUAUUUUCCAAAUUAGUAAACUCUAUUGUGUUUUAAAACUAAAGCUCCCUUUAUAUAAGGUGUGUGUGUUUGUUUGUUUGUUUGUUUGUUUGUUUUUUUUUGUCUUUUUUAAUCAAUUUCUUUUUUCUUUUCUUUUUUUCUUUUGGGUGUGAAUGGCCGAUUCAACAUUAUUCAAUUUUUCAAUUGGACAGAUUUCUAUUUAUUUAUUUAUUUCAUGCCCAACAAAUUGACUGAUAUAAACACCACAGCUUUUUUUUUUUUUCAUCUCAGAUUUGUAUUUAGUUCCCUUUCAACAUACAAGAGAUGCAAGUAUACAUCUAAUUUUAUACCCAGCCAAGUAGGUCCCAUAACAGAAAAGCCAAGAGAGAGCAGAGAGGAAAACUGCCUAAAAUAUGGGGAAGUUAUUAAAAUGGCUGGUCUAGAGUGUGGCUGAGAUUUAUUAAAAUGGGGAAGUUAUUAAAAUGAUGAAAAUGUACCAAGUUCUUCUCCAACAAUUCUCUAAUAUAUGGCCAUAUUUCAUUCAAAUUGAAAUAUGAAACUAACAAUUACAAUGAUCAAUUGUGAAAAAUAAAUUCAUUUCAAAACCCACGGUUUAGAUUAAUUUUAUUUAUAUCAUAUUGAAUGCAAUUAUAUCUUAUCGAAAAUUUAAAAAUUUUAUGUCGAUUUGUUUAGAAAAAAUAAUUAAACCUAAAAUUGCUAAUAAAUAGUAGGAAAAUCAGAAAGAAAAAAAAUGCCCCUAAAAUUGCUUUGAGCUACUUGUGACGUUAUAAAACUAGGGGAAUCUAAAACACAUCCAUUUCAUUAUGAAAAAAUCCAAAGUGCUUUUGAUAACUCACUUUCCUCGAUAUAUCCCUAUUAACUUCAACUUGAAUAACCUACAUAAAUUAAUAUCUCUCAAAAAUGUUUGGAAUCAUUUUUAAAAGCAGGAAUGUGGCAAGUAGGACUGACGUACACGCGUCUAGCUGUUGAAGGACAUGUGCUCAGGUCCCGCAAUGUGUGGCCUUUUGCUUAUUUUGCAUUUUGUAAUGCAAAAUUCUUUAUAAAAAAAAUGAUGAUAAAUAGUAGGAAAAUAGAUAUUAAAAAAGCCCCAAAAAUUGUUCCGAGCUCAUUGUGAGAGGGAGAGUUGAAGCGCGCAUGCAGCCGGGGAGGCGGCGGCCACUUCCAUCGAUCGUAACUUCUUCGUUAAAACUCUGAUUUGAGCCCAUUACGUGUCUACGAACUCGUAUCUAUGUGUUCUACGCCACGAUGCUACUCAAAUCCUCAAAUUCUUUCAAGAACAAAAAGUCAACUUCUAAACCCAUUAAAAUAUUCUCACGGUAAAAUUGUCUUUUACUUGAAAAUUUUAAUAAUUAAAUAUUAAUUUAGGAUUGAGUUAUCAAUGUGGGUGGCAACACUUGGUUGUGCCUGCUUGGUUUGCUAAUCUCGGUGGCAACAUUUGGCUAUCUUUUUUCAAAUUUCAUUUUGGAGUAGAGGUAUGGAAAAAGGCCUGAAGAUGAGCUACGCAAAUUCUGUAAUUUUCUGCCUUUUUCUCUUUCUGGGUUGUAUGUGAAUGAGUUUUUGUCAAAUUACGUGCUGAUUUUGUUUUUUUUAAACAUGUAUGUAUUGAUUAUUGUUCUCCACUCUGAGAUUAGGAAGCUCAAUCGUCUAUGGCGCCCAUGGGAGAGAAAAAUAAAAUUACUUCAAUUUAAAUUGAUAUUAAUUUUUUCAAAUUUUUACUUUUUAAAUUUAAUUUAAUUGUAAGAUUUUCCUUAAUUACUUUAAUUUAAAUUGACAUAUUCAAAAUAAAAUUACAUAUGAAAAAUAGUGAUCAAAUUAUCCAAUAAAUAUAAAUAUAUAUUCAAAAUGUACAUAUAAAUUAACAAAGUACAAUAAUAAAAUCCUAAUACAAGCGCAUUGUGGUGGUAGUGGCGGAGGAUAUGUUUUGAUAGCUUCCUAAUCCUCAACUUUAGCCGUCAAAGUCUCGAUGAUUCCCUACAAAAAAAUAAAUAUAGUCAAAUAACAACAACAACAACAAAAAGAAUGCACAAUCUCCCCUAAAAUUGUUAUACCACAAAUCCAACCCAAACUCCAAUCUCUCCCCUUUACUCAACCCCAAACCCCACACAAACUCAAAACUAACUCCAAAAACACAUAUUAAUGAAAAAAAUUUAAAAUUUGGAGAGAAUAUACCUUUUGGCAAGAUUGAGAGUGAGUGAGAAUGAGAGGGAGAAGUGAGUGUGAGAGAAUUAGAAAAGAUAGUGAUAGAGAGAUGAGAGAGUGAGAGAUAGUGAAAAGAUAGAUGAGAGAGUGAGUGAGAGUGAGAGAUAGUGAAGAUAGAGAUGAGAGAUUAAGUGAGAGGAGUUAGUGUGAGAGAAAGGGUGGGAUUUGGGGAAAGGGAAAGAGAGAGGAGAGGUAAGAGUAGAGAAAGAAAUUGAGAAAAUGGUGGAGGAGUUAUUUCAGUUUUAAAAAUCGUAUCACUUUGCGCGACGAAAAUAUGGUUGGUCGCGCAAAGUUUUGCGCGACGAAACAUAUUGGUCUCGCAAAGUUUUGCGCGACGAAUAGAGGAAUAUUGGUCGCGCAAAGUCUAAAAAAAUUAUUUUAAAAAAAAAAAAAUUCCCGCAUCCCAUUUUUGGUACCCGCCAAAAUUUUUAAAUUUUUGCGCGACGAAAAAUACUUAUUGGUCGCGCAAAGUCUAAAACAAUUAUAUAUAAAAAAUUCCCGCGGCCCAUUUUUGGUACCCGCCCAAAUUUUUGCGCGACGAAAAAUAUAUAUUGGUCGCUCAAAGUUUUGCACGACGAAACAUAUUGGUCUCGCAAACUUUUGCACGACGAAUAUAGGAGUAUUGGUCGCGCAAAGUCUAAAAAAAAUUAUUUUUUUUAAAAAAAAUUCCCGCAUCCCAUUUUUGGUACCCGCCAAAAUUUUUAAAUUUUUGCGCGACGAAAAAUACAUAUUGGUCGCGCAAAGUCUAAAACAAUUAUAUAAAAAAAUUCCCGCAUCCCAUUUUUGGUACCCGCCAAAAUUUUUAAAUUUUUGCUCGACGAAAAAUAUAUAUUGGUCGCGCAAAGUUUUGAGCGACAAAAAAUAUUGGUCGCGCAAAGUCUAAAGUUUUUUUUUUAAUUUUAAAAACCCGCGUCCCAUUUUUGGUACUCGCCCAAAUUUUUUGAGUUUUGCACGAUGAACUGUUGGUCGCCCAAACUUUUGAGAGACGAAAAAUUGGUUCGUAGCACAAUAUUUAUAAAAAUAAUUGUUAUGAAUAAAAAAAAAUAAAAAAAUUUAUUUUAUGAUUUAAAAUAUAAUUAAGGUGAAAGCUACUUAAUAAAUGUAUAUACUAUUCAAUUUCUUAAGUGUUAUACGUACAAAAUAAAUAAAUUUAAAGCUACUUAAUAAAUAUAUGUAUAUAAAUAUAUAUAUAUAUACACACACCAUUCAACGAUCCAACCAUAAGACUUGUUUGUAUAUACUUCAAGAUCGUAUACCCCAAAAAUCGCAAAAAACAAACAUUCAGAGAUCUAGUAACGGGACAAAACUUUUCGAUAGUUAUAAAUGAAAAAUCACGAUUUAACGGUUAUUUUAACUCCGAUUUUGAUGAUUUUUUUACAGCUACACUCCUUGACCCUAUAUGAAUACAAUGACUGAAUUUGAUCUUCAAUUUAAAACAUUUGCACUAGUGGAUACCACAAAAUCUUAUGUUAUAUUUAACGAAAAUAUAAAUAAACUCUUAAUUGUUAGUGAAUUCGACGAAACUAGUUUCAACGAUCCAACCGUCAAACUUGUUUUUUUAUACUUCGAGAUCAUAUACGCCAAAAAUCAGAAAAAAUAAAUAUUCAUAGAUCAAGUAACGGGACAAAACUUUUCGACGGUUAUAAAUGAAAAAUCAUGAUUUAACGGUUAUUUUAACUCCGAUUUUGAUGAUUUUUUACAGCUACACUCCUUGACCCUAUAUGAAUACAAUGACUGAAUUUGAUCUUCAAUUUAAAAUAUUUACACUAGUGGAUACCACAAAAUCUUAUGUUAUAUUUAACGAAAGUAUAAAUAAACUCUUAAUUGUUAGAGAAUAUAUUGUUUUGUUGGCAUAUGCAUUCUAUGAAACUAAUUUCAACGAUCCAACCGUCAAACUUGUUUGUUUAUACUUCGAGAUCAUAUAUGCCAAAAAUCGAAAAAAAUAAACAUUCAUUGAUCAAGUAAUGGGACAAAAAAUUUUGACAGUUAUAAAUGAAAAAUCAUGAUUUAAUGGUUAUUUUAACUCCGAUUUUGAUAAUUUUUUAUAGCUACACUCCUUGACCCUAUAUGAAUACAAUGACUGAAUUUGAUCUUCAAUUUAAAAUAUUUACACUAGUGGAUACCACAAAAUCUUAUGUUAUACUUACGAAAGUAUAAAUAAACUCCUAAUUGUUAGUGAAUAUAUUGUUAGUGAACAAAAAAAAACUAGUUUCAACGAUCCAACCGUCAAACUUGUUCGUUUAUACUUCGAGAUCAUAUACGCCAAAAAUCGGAAAAAAUAAACAUUCAGAGAUCAAGUAAGGGGACAAAACUUUUCGAUGGUUGUAAUGAAAAAUUACGAUUUAAUGGUUAUUUUAACUCCGAUUUUGAUGAUAUUUACUGCUACACUCCUUGACCCGAUAUGAAUACAAUGAACUAAUUCGAUCGUCAAUUUAAAAUAUAUAUUUUCUAACAAAAACCCAAUCCGAACAACAAUAAUAUAUUUUUCUAAUAAAAAUCCGAUCCGAUCUAAAAUAAUAAGUUUAAAGCUACUUAAUAAAUAUAUAUACCGUUUAAUUUCUUAAGUGUUAUGCAUACAAAAUAAAAAACAAAAAUAAAUUGGUUUAGGUGACAAAAUGUUUGGAUUACGUCAUGCAAAGAUUCUAAAAAAUAAUUUUUUUUAUUCUAUUUAUUUUUGUAAGGACUUUGCGCGACGAAGUUUACUUUUCGUCGCGCAAAGUCACUUUGAGCGACGAAUUAUUUUUCGUCGCGCAAAAUUGGUCGCGCAAGACUUUGAGCGACGAUGUAUUGUCGUCGCGCAAAAGUUUGUCGCGCGAAGUGACUUUGCGCGACGAAUUAUUUUUCGUCGCGCAAAAUUUGGUCGCGCAAGACUUUGAGCGACGAAGUUUCAAGUUUCGUCGCGCAAAGUAACUUUGAGCGACGAAUAAUUUUUCGUCGCGCAAAAUUUGGUCGCGCAAGGGGUUUUUUUUACUAGUGCUAGUUAGGUAAUGACUAGACGGUUGAUGCCUAGUCUUUUUGGUCGACAUUAUUUGUAAUUUUAUGGGAGAACAUACAAUUUUCUUAUUUUGUUGGUUUGAUUAGGGACAAAAGUUUUGUACUAGUUUUGUUGGUUUGUUUGUUGUAAACCUGUGAGUGUUCUGUGCUUGGCAAGCAGUUGGCCACCAAGAGAGAGGCUACUGAAGAAAUAUGGUGAUUGGCUCGCAAGAUGAACAGCCUGAUAUAUAAAAAAAAGCUACACUAGAGCAAAACAGUCUAUCCAAAGAAGGGAAAAGUACAAAUACAAAAUGAAAGAAAGAAAAACCAACCUGUAGAGCAUAAGGCAUCAUGAAUGCAGGUUUGGUUGGUAGAGAUAAUGUGCGUGUACGGAGUACUUUCCCUUUCCCACCUAAAAAACAAAAAAUAAAAUAAAUUACUUUCCCUUAAUUAAAAAAUUAGUUCUGUUUUUGUUCUAAUUUUAUUUUUUAGUUCAAUUUUUUCGAUUGUCGAUUAUUUGGGUUGUCAAUCUGCUAGUUAAUAUAUUUUUUGUGGCUUAUUUUCUCUUUGCAUGUGUUUAUUCCAUAAAAUUGGUAUAAAAUUAUGGUAUGAUUUUGUGUUUUUUGUCUUUUUGUGGAUUGUCAGCAUUUGCAAGAAUGUUGUAGUAUUUGCUAUGCAACAGGGUAUUAAGCCAAUAUGUUCUGUUUUAACACAGAUUUGUAAGGUAGUUUUUGCUGUAAGUACCAGUUUGUAAGAAUUUUUUUUUUAAAAAAAAAAAAAUUACUUUCUAUUAUUUCUAAUGUAUUUUUAGCAUAAUACAAUUGAAACGCGAAUACUUUAAUCCACCAUAUUUAGAAUGAAUGUAUUUUUUUUCCAUAUAUCUUUUUAAACACAACAUUUAGGGCUUAUUUGGAAAUGAUUUUAGAUAUGCUAUAAUCACUUAUGGGGAAAGCCACGCCCCAUGUGCUUCUCUAUAUAAUCACUUAUUAGUGAUUUUAAGUGAUUCUGAUCAUAAGCUUCACCUAUGCGUUUCUCCACAAAAUCACUUGAAGUAAUUAUUUGGAAAAGUGAUCCUCCAUAGAAGCGCUUUUUGGCCUAUUUAGAGUCACUCCCAAACAACUUUUCUUUCUGCAAAUAGAGAAUCUAGUUCUUGAAAAAUAAAUGCAUUGAGAUUAAAGCCUUGGGAUUUCUCAAUACAUUCAAACGUAUGCUUUUGGUUUCGCAUAAAAUGAAGUUCCAACACAUGUAGAUUGGACCUAGUGAAGUUUUAAUGAACCAUAAUCAAAUUUGUUUCCAAGAGCUAAACUAAAAUAAAUAAUAAAAUGAAGGGACAUCCUAAUGGAAAGCUUCAACUUGGUCCUCGAAGUGUUGUAGUAGGCCCUCCAUGCUCAUUACUGUGACAUCACCCUUAUCUCUAACCCUUACGCUAACCUGAAACCAUAAGAGGAUGGAUCACAUACUAACUUCUCACUAGAAGACUUCCAUGGCAGAGUUUAACUUACAACAAAGGACCAUGGGCAGCAGCAUAAACAAAAAUUACAAAAUUACGAAAAAAAAGAAAAACGGACCUGUCCAUUUUGAACUUCCUCCGCACCCACAACUAAAAUGUAGUUGUACUGUGCCAUCUGAGCUUGUCGUACCUGCAGAAAACAAGAGCAUUAUCAGUAAACAAACACAAGGCAUCAAAUCCUGCAUUUACCCAAGUUAUGAAUGCUCACCUUUUUCUGAAUUGUUUUAUCACUUGUGUCCACAUCGACAUAAUAACCAGCUUGAUGGAGCUGAUCCCGUACCUACAAAAAUGCAAACGCAUGCAGUUUUUAAUUUAGCUAGGACUUAAGGUUAAAGAACUAAAACAAUGUAAGCCACUCUAGCUUGGCAAGCAGUUGGCCACUAAGAGAGAGGCUACUGAGGAAAUAUGGCGAUUGGCUCGCAAGAUGAACCAGCCUGAUAUAUAAAUAAAUAAAUAAAUUCAUGGCUCAUAGCCUUACGCUAGACAAGCUACACUCGAGCAAAACAGUCGAUCCAAAGAAGGGAAAAGUACAAAUAAAAAAUUAAAGAAAGAAAUAUAGUGAUUGGCUCGCAAGAUGAACAGCCUGAUAUAAAAAAUAAAAUUCAUGGCUCAUAGCCUUACACUAGACAAACUACACUCGAGCAAAACAGUCUAUCCAAAGAAGGGAAAAGUACAAAUAAAAAAUUAAAGAAAUAAAAAAUGACCUGUAGAGCAUAAGGCAGGGCUGUAUGCGACACAGGGCAAACAAUUGCCUGACGUGGGCUAAGCCAGAAGGGCCAUUUCCCUUUGUAGUGUUCCAACAGUACAGCAAGCAUACGCUCAACAGAACCUAAAACAGCUCUGUGUAUCAUAACAGGCCUUUCCAUCUUGCCGUCUUCACCCUCUGCUGAGUAAUACAGCUUAAAGCGGUCGGGAAGUUGAAAAUCAAGCUGCAACCACAGCAUUUUUCCAAAAUGGUAACAGCAACAAAAUGAAGCGUAAAGAGAUCAUGAAACGACAAAAAAAAGUGAUCAUCAUAUACCUGUAAUGUUGCCAACUGAUGAUCUCUGUUCAAUGCAUCAGAUACAGUGAUAUCUAUCUUCGGUCCAUAAAAUGCACCAUCCCCUUCAUUCACCUGCGCAACAUGACUACCGAUGUAACCACAACUCCAGACACAAUCUAGCUAUUCCAAACCAAUCCAUCUGGUUCAGAGUUCCAGCUAAGCCAAUUAUGAAAACUCCCCUGACUGAGCUUCGUCAAGUUUUUAACCCACUGAGCCAAAAAUAAAUAAGCUAGAAGCCCUUUGGGGUUGGCCCAGGUGGUAAGGCUGGGUGGGGGAAUCAGUUAGGAUGUCAUAGGUUUCCAAUGUAACCAAAGGAAAAACAAAAACAAAAAGCAAGCAACUACACUAGUGCACAGUGAAAAUUGGAUCAAUUUUCUUCCACGUGAAUUUUAUGAUCAUUAGCUGCCAAAGGAAGAAUCAGCUAGAUGCUUACGUGCAUUUAGAGUAUCAAGUAAAAGUACCUCCCAGGGCUUGCCGAACUCAAUUAAAGCUUCUUUAAGAGCAGCCUCAGCCUUCUUCCAUGUUGCCAAGUCUCCCAUGUGGCUUUCUGGCAUCUACAACAUAAACGUACGAGGCAGAAUAAUUAUGAAUUCCCCAUACUUCCUAGAUGGGAGAUAGAUACAGACAAUUAUAACUCAUAGCAUCAUGCAGUACCAAAAUAAUUAGAUGUGACCCAUACCCAAAGAGUUAAAAAUGUAAAAUCAGACUACCAAUACUAGGUGAUGAUCAAAUAAAAUAAAAAAUCCAAAUCCAAAUCCAAAUCCAAACAUCACACUAACAAAAUAGAAGCUAUAUCUAGAACAAGACCAAUAAGAUAUUCCCAUGAGAGUAUUUGUCGUCUAUUUUAAAUUUGAAAAUACGCAAAAGAAAUAUAUAAUUCAAACUUGCAGCUUAGGCCGAUAACUUGUGAGGAAGAACAAUGACACUUCGCUACCGAAAAGUAAAAAGAAAAACUACAUGUUCAGCUCUUCAAACAUUAGGGAUCAAGAACCUUACUGUUGAAAGUUUCAGCAUAAAAGUGAAGCCAAAUAUAUUAUAGGUAUACUCGAUAAACUCUAAGACACCCCUCACUUCAUCUUUCACCUGAAACACAGAGACAUAAUAGCACUAUGAGCAAAACGAAACUGCAAAAAUACAAAAACAAAAGUAAAAUGUUAGGAGGUAUGUGAGUAAGGUCAACUAACUUGGGACUCCCUGCAGAAGAUAUGAGCGUCAUCCUGUACCAAAAAGAACGUCAAUAAUGCUGGUAACUGGUACUAAUACUCUAACUAUACAAACCUACAACAUUAACAUCACUAAACUAUCUUGGUGGAGACAGAUUGUAGGCAUUAUCUAACUAUGCAAAAUGCUCAAUUGUAAAUUCCUAGAACCAAAAUAAAAAGAAAAAAUCAAAGUAUACCUGCUGGAAUCUCCUGACACGUGUUAAUCCAGUGAGUGCGCCACUGGCCUCAUUCCGAUGUAGCACCCCAAAAUCAGCCAUUCGUAGAGGUAGUUCUUUGCAUAAAUAUCAAACGCACACAUAAGUAACAAGUUCAAGUCCUUAACAGCAAAAGAUGGUCUACCACAGUUUUAUCAGGGUCAAGAAACUAUUUACAAAAGAUGAUUGUUGAAAACUAAAUAUAUAAAAAGACUAAUGCUACAAGUACACAGAGUUUCAUUAACUAUUCCUAAACAUAAUAGUGUGGCAGCCUAUGCGUCAAACCAUAUCGACAAUAGAAAAUGCUAUUGAGCAAUUCAAGUGAAUAAAAAGCUCAAGAAAGAAAAAAAAAUACCUCUAUAAGAACGGUUCCUAUGCUGAAACAUUACACAGUGCCCUGGGCAGUUCAUUGGUUUUAAUCCAAACUCCUGUUUCUCAAUCUGCAGUGGAACUUGAUUUCGUCAAAUAAAAGGAUACAAAAUCAAGAUAAACUUAGUCCAGUUCAUUUACACCGCAUAACUAGUAGAUGAUGAUCUCAAUCAAUCAUCUGCAUUGAAUUUCAUACUAUAAUUUCCAUAUUGUUUUACUGUUUGAGCAACAGAGAAUUCUUCAUCAUGACAUUAUCCAAUAUUUGGUAUCAUUCAUAUACACACAGAAGAGAAAGAAUAAUAAAAUAAAUUAGUAAAUAUGAAUUUUCCCCUUCAAACUCAUCAGUCUGUCUUCCCAGUACAGUUGCUUUUAAGCAUACAGUUGCUUCAACAUAAACAAACGCAAUGGUAUCAAGUCAUGUCAAAACUAACCUCCACCAAAAACAUAUUGUCUUUGUAUUUUUCAGCAUGGCCAGAUGUUUCCCAGAGUUUCAUAUUGUACAAGUUUGGUGAUAUAACCUACCAAAGUAAAGAAAACUAUGAGCAUAUUAUUUAAAGAUAAUCGGGUGAUGCAACAACUGAAUAUUUAUUACCAACCUCUUCGUAUCCCCUCUCUCUAUACUGCUUCUUUAUGAACUCCAUUAAUUUAUUAUAAAUCCGAGCCCCUUUAGGGAGGAAGAAGCAACUUCCUGGGCUGCAAUUGACAAGUGGAAAUAAUCAAAUGGAAAUCAUUCACUCUUGGUCAGUUCAAAAAGUUAAGAAAUAUGAACUCAAUACAUACCUAACUGGGUCGAAAAAGAAAAGUUCCUGAUUUUUACCCAACACUCUGUGGUCAUAUUUUUUUGCUUCUUCUAGCUUAUGCAUAUGGGUCUGCAGAAAAAGGUAUAUGUUAGUAAGAAAAUCAAGUAAUUCAAUAAGUAUAAUAAUCUGACCAUUACAAAUUGACUUUUCAAAGACUGGAGGCCUGUAAUAUUGCACUGUGAUUUACAAUGUUAAUUUAUGUUGGAUAGGGUAUAAAAGUUCAUGUCCUCAACAUCAUUCCUUUAAUAAAAUUACACCAACUUGUAUUGCUUGAAAUCAUUGCACUUCAUACAGCACCAUUUAUUUUCAGUUGACAUAGCACUGAUUUUUUAUUUUUUUUUUAAAUACCCUGAAAUCCACCAAUUCAUAAAGCGGAACAGCUUUUCCUUUUGAUGUCAAUUAAGGGAAUUAGUGCACCAAUUUGUACAAAGAACUUUAUUUUUAACAAACACUCAAAAACGCAGCCAAAGUAGCUGAUACAAGAAAGCAGAUAAGAAAAAUCAAAACUAAAGUUACGGAAUGUCAAAAACAUAAUGUCACCUGCAACCGUUUUUUAUCAGGAUAAGAUAUUCCAUAAACUCUCUGUAAGCUUUCACGAUCCUUGUUACCCCUCCAAUAGGCUGCAGAAGCCUGGGAUUGCAAAUUCAUGAGUUAAAUACAGACACGCAAUACAUUAAUAACAAGACGAUAGAAAAUGUUACAAAUUGUGGCUCUACCCCGCAUAGAACACAUACCUUCAAACAUUUAAAUGCUUUGAUAAAUGAUGCAUUUGGUAUAUGGGGUCCACGACACAAGUCAACCAAAGGGCCACAUCUAUAUACAGUGAUAGUUUGGUCUGCUGGAAGACCAUUGAUGAUUUCAACCUGAUUAAAAUAUCCCAAAGCAAAAAUAAAUCUUAAAUCGAUUUUGAACGCAUGUACGAAAAGUAGUUUAAAAAAAAAAUCAAUCUAUUUAUUAGAAACAAAACUAAGCAUCUUUCCUUACCUUGAAUUUAUUAUCACAAAACAUCUCAAGGGCUUGUUCCCUUAAUACUUCAAUGCGUUCAAAAGGUUGUUUCCCCUAGGGAAAUAUAUUACAACUAACCAGUCAAGGAUUGAAUCCAAAAAUAGAAAAAUAUUGAAAGUGUUACCAUUUUGCAAACAAUCAAGAAGCAACAGUUUCCUCCAUACAACAAGUUUACAUGAAUUCUAUUACAAGAAAACAAACAAUACCUUAAUAGCCAUCUCUGCUGUUGAUUCGAUUUUCUUAAAGUGUUCGUCAUUCAAGCCAUAAUCUCCAUGAAAUGCAUCAUAGUAAAAACCCUGCGAUUGAAUUCAAUCAUUCCAUAAGGGAACCAAAUGAGAAACCACUAAAAUACAUAGCAAAACCAUGAAAUAUAUUUUAGAAGACCAUAAAAAGAUAACAUUUCUCAAAACUGGGAUCACAAAACUUGAACUAUCCUAGUAGUUGAAUUGCACGCCAAGGAAACCACAUACGCAAACAAACUUCCAUGCAACAUAUUGGUCAACCAAAGAAGGUGACAAAAUAUACAGAAAAAGUAUAAAAUGUUAAAUUUAAACUAACUACUAGUACGAUUAUUUAAAAACCUCUUUGCUAGUGGUACACAAAUCGAGUCUUGUUCCAAUUCUGGCACAAGGACCUAUGCAGAGACGGCAUCCAUACUCCAUCUCAAGUGCCUGCACGAUAUGGAAACUUGUAAUGCAUCCAACCCAAAUCAAAUCAUACAGUAAACCAAAACCAAAAAUCUCGACAAUAACUCUUGGUGCCUACCUGUCCGAGAAUGUGGGAGCUAGAGUGCCAGAAAGUGUGGCGGACAUCCUCAUUGUUGUCGAAUGAGUCCAAUGUUAAGAUCCUCAGCUCAGCAUCGCCCUCCAAAGGCCUGUUCAUGUCCCAUAGAACCCCAUUGACCUCAGAAAUCAAAGCGUUGGAAGCCAAACUCUUUGAAAUCUCACUUGCAAUUUCGAAUGGGGAAGUUAUCCACUUUUUGCCCUCCUUCACCUUCCCGUCCGGCAAUGUAAUCCUGAAAAACCCCAACAGCAGUUAGUUACUUAAGAGAAGGAAUUUACCAUCGCAUGUACUUCCACAUAACUAAACUAUCUCGUUUGGCAAAUGUAACGAUAGGACUUUUUCUUAGUGGGGCUUGGAAACCCAAAAGUUCCUCAACAACGCAACGCCUAUACAGACGUUACUUACGAAUUCCAUCAAAACCAGAUGACUGGGGCCUUGUUUGAUCUGCCAAGUCCCACUUGAAGCAUGUGGUGAAGAGCUAUAAUCUUCAAAACCAUUAGAUCCACAUCAUAAGAUGCGUCAGUUUAUUUUGAAAUAAACAAGCUUGAUCUUUAUCACAAUGAAUUCAAAAAGGACAACGUAGCUAAUGAAUGGUGCAGGUAAUGAAUUCAAAAUCAUACUACUUUAGGAGUUGCUUGGUACUCAUAUGUCAGGUAGUGCAAAAAGGAGUUUAGGGUUUACCUGAUAGGAUCGAAAGACGGGUGAGACUGUCGAGCAGCACGUUGUUCUGCCUGAAUUGACUCAAAGAGUUUGUUGCGCUUAGGAAUGUCGACCAUAAGGUAAUCUUUGGCGUGGAACUCCAUGGCCGUUCACUUUUGCUCGACUGGAAGGAGGAGCAGAUAUAUAUAUGACUGGCGGAUCUGCGAUGUGUCUGGCGUCUGAUGGUGGCUGUGAUUUUGGUGUGAUGGCUUAGAGUCUUAUACCCUUUGUUUUUUUCUUUUGACAAUAGGAAUCCAGGUUUGGUUGGGAGAGAUAAUGUGCGUGUACGGAGUACUUUCCCUUUCCCGCCUAAAAUAAAUAAAUUAAAUUGAAUUACUUUCCCUUAAUUAAAAAAUUAGUUCUGUUUUUGUUCUAAUUUUAUUUUUUAGUUGAAUUUUUCCGUUGUCGAUUAUUUAAAGGAAGCCACCCUUAUUAAAACGAAUCUCAUUUAUUCAUGAUAAAUUGAAUGAAAGGACCCGCUCCAAAUUUCUCAAAAACUCGAGGUGAAUUCUGUGGAAUUCUCGACAUCAUCCUGAUGUCGGGUCCACUUACUAAAGACCGAGACUUUCUGCCAAAAAUUCGGCAGAGUCUCCCCUAUAAAUUGAACAUUUCCCAAAAUUUUCACUUGCAUAAAACACAAUUUAAUAUCCACAACUGGCAGCAUGCACAAUAUAACUUCAUGCAAUUCACAUAAACGGCCUUCGGCCUUCAAAUAAUUCUCAACUACCAAGCAUGCUAACAAAUCAAUUCAUGCCUUAAACAAGGUAAAUGAUAAAUUCAAAUAUAAAUUAUGACUACUAAAUCUCAACAUACGAGGUUUUAGCCUCCUAACACAAUCACAUUUUCACCUCAAUUUCAGGACCAACAACAAGGUCCGAACCAAUCUCUAUAUGACUAACAUUUAGUCUGCGGCUGCACCUAAUAACCUUAGGCUGCCUACGUACCCUCCUUGAGGGAUCAAGCCGCACGUAGUUCUUCCCUUAAAAACCUAAUUCCACACAUAGGCGAUACCUUAUUUCAUUUAUCUAUACUUCACAUAAUCUCCCCAUACGCCGGUACAACCAAUGCCACGUAUGGGGCCUGUCAACAUGCUGGAUAACCUACGCCACGUGCGACCAUACCAUACUAUCACAAUAUCUCCCCAUACGCCGGUACAACCAACGCCACGUAUGGGGUCUGUCGACAUGCUGGAUAACCUACGCCACGUGCGACCUCAACACAGUAUCACAAUAUCUCUUCAUACGCCGGUACAACCAACGCCACGUAUGGGGUCUGUCUCAACGCCGAAUAACCUACGUCACGCGAGACCUAACUUUCACAGGGUGGUACUUGUAGUGUAACCAAAAUCUAGGGAGGUACCUAAGGUAGUGUGUAUAGCACUUCAAACUGACAUUCUAGACUCUUUUGUACCCUUGUACAAACAUAUAUGAUUAUAUAUAUUAAUACUAAUAUUGUGUAAACCUCAACAAUGGUCUAGCACCCAAUAAUCCCCCUGGGAAGGUGAGAUUACUUCGAGAGGACUCACGGUCAACCAAAGGUCAAAUUACCCUAACCCUGGUCAAACGGGCCUACGGGGCCCACGACCUCCAAAUUUCGAUCCGAAAGUUCCUAUGAGUUCUACAAGGUAUAGGACACUCGUCCUGCAAGUUUGGUCCAGAUCGCUCACGAUCGCACGAUCUGACGGUUAUUAUAAAACAUAAACUUUAAAUUAUUUAUUCGGAGCAUCCGGGGCUCCGAUUCACAAUCCGUGAAUUCCUACACGAUUCUAGAAAUACCUAGUGUAACACCCCGACCCCGAAUUUAACCCUUAUUUAAUUAUUUAAUUAUUUAAUUAUUUAAGGGUAUUUUAGUUAUAUUUUUAACCAGAGAGAGUUUGGGGCAGUGACUAGUAUUUUUGGAUAGGUCGUACUGAGACGAGUUCAUAGACACGUAGUGGGCUCGAAUCGGAGUUGUAACGAGAGAAAUAUGGUCAAAAGAAAUCCAGUGGCACAAUCGUAAAUAUUUCAAAAUGGGAUUUUUAUAAAAAUCUAGUUUUCUCUCUCUCUCUCUCUCUCUCUCUCUCUCUCUCUCUCUCUCUCUCUCUCUCUCUCUCUCUCUCUCUCUCUCUCUCCCGCAGGUCUCUCUCUCCUCUCUCUCUGGCGCGACGGCAGCCGGCCACGUUUUGGUCGGCCGUGCUCUCCUCCAGCCACCGAUGACGACGGGACCUGUACCAAAAUCACCGGGCCGUCGUCCUCUUCCUACCCCAGCCACCUCCCACCGCCAGCCGCCGCGGAUUCGCCGGAAUCUGGAGAUGAAGCGGCCGACGUCGUCCAAACUUCAAAGUCGCCGAUCUCCCUCCUCCGGCCACCAAUUCAGUCGACCCAGGUAUGGAUUUUGAACCUCUCGAGCUGCUCUAGCUGAUGGUUGGGUAGGAUUAGAUCGAUUCUUAGCAUAGACAAUUCGAUUUUUGAAUUGAAAUUCGGCCGAUUUUGGGAUCGCAAUUCCGGCCACUUCCGGUCCGUUUUUGGGGUAGGUCCAAGAACAAAAGUGGCUCCAAAUAGGGUGUUAUACCUAGGGUAGGAGUUUGGAGCAGUGGUUUUGAGAGUUUCCGGCGAAGCGUUAUCGCUUAGGGCACCCACGCGCUGCCGGCGCGUGCGGCGGCGCGUGGGCACUGUAGAAAAAGUGGCACUAUGUCUCGAUGAGAUCCUUAGGUUGUCACGAGUGCGUAGGAUUUCACGGAUCUCAAUUCGGACAUCGUUUGACUAUCGAACAGACGAUUGCAUAUUGUGCGUUAUCCGGGUUCGAUAGGUUGGGACCGUUGGAUGGUCCCAAAUUUAAUAUAUGUUAAUCUAGGUAAUUCUAGGAUCGUGUAGGAAUUCACGGAUUGUGAAUCGGAGCCCCGGAUGUUCCGAAUAAUAAUUUUAAAGUUUAUAUUUUAUAUUAAUUGUCUGAUCGUGCGAUCGUGAGCAAUCCGACUGUCCGAUCUGAACUAAACUUGCAGGACAAGUGUCCUAUACCUGGUAGAACCCAUAGGGACUUUCGGAUCAGAAAUUGGAGGUCGUGGGUUCUGCAGGUCCGUUUGACCAGGGUUAGAGUAGUUUGACCCUUGGUUGACCGUGAGUCUCCUGGAGUAAUCUUACCUUUCCAGGGGAGAUUAUCGGGUGCUAGACUAUUGUGGAGGGUUACACAAUAUUAGAAUUAAUAUUUAUUACUAUAAUUAUAAUAAGUUUGUACAAGGGUACAACAGAGUCUAGAAUUGUCAGUUUGGAGUGCUAUACGCACUACCUUAGGUACCUCCUCAGAUUUUGGGUUUCACUACAAGUACCACCAAGUGAAAGUGAGGUCCCACGUGGCGUAGGUUAUCCGGCGUUGGGACAGGCCCCAUACGUGGCGUUGGUUGUACCGGCGUAUGGGGAGAUUUGUAAUAUGAUGUUCAGGUCUCACGUGGCGUAGUUUAUCCGGCGUUGAGACAGGCCUCAUAUGUGGCGUUGGUUGUACCGGCGUAUGGGGAGAUAUUGUGAUAUUGUGUUGAGGUCGCACGUGGCGUAGGUUAUCCGGCUUGUCAACAGGCCCCAUACGUGGCGUUGGUUGUACCGGCGUAUGGGGAGAUUUGUGAUAUGAUAUUGAGGUCCCACGUGGCGUAGGUUAUCCGGCGUUGGGACAGGCCCCAUACGUGGCGUUAGUUGUACCGGCGUAUGGGGAGAUAUGUGAUAUGAUGUGCAGGUCUCGCGUGGCGUAGGUUAUCCGGCGUUGAGACAAACCCCAUACGUGGCGUUGGUUGUACUGGCGUAUGGGGAGAUAUUAUGAUAGCAUGGCAUGGUCGCACGUGGCGUAGGUUAUCCGGCGUGUUGACAGGCCCCAUACGUGGCGUUGGUUGUACCGGCGUAUGGGGAGAUUAUGUGAAAUACAGAGAAAUGAAAUAAGGUAUCGCCUAUGUGUGGAAUUGGGUUUUAUGGAAGAACUACGUAUGGCUUGAUCCCUCAAGGAGGGUACGUAGGUAGGCCUGGGCACGGUUCGGGUCGGGUCAAAUUUUGGCCGACCCGCGAGCCAAACCGAAGGAGAGCUCGGUUCUCGGGUCGAGUCGGGUCUAGGAUGAAACCCGAAAAUGGGCCGAACCGGAAAUGGGCUCGGUUCUCGGGUCGGUUCUGAUUUAUUCUCGGUUUGGGCUUGGGCCCAUUUUUUCAAUUUUCCAAAAGCCCAAAUCUUAUUUAUUUUCGGCCAAAAAAAGCCCAAAUCAUAUUUUUUUAGUAAAACAAAGCCCAAAUCCGAUUUCCUUUCAGCCAAAACCCUUUUUUUGUUGUCAAAUUGCCAAAACCUAUUAAAUUCUUAUGAACAAGCCCAAAACACUUUUUACUUCUCUUUCAAAACCUGAAAUUAUGUAAAUUCAAGCUAUAAAAAUCCAUCAUUCCAAUCUAAGUUUCUAAACUAAAUAAAUCUCACAUACACACAUUCAAUUCAACCAACCAACCAAGGAAAGGAAAUAUAAUCUCUUACAAACCAUUACAAAAAAUAAUACACAAACCAAAUUAAACUUAUGACAUUAAAGAUUACAACCCAUCACAAAAAUACACAUAGAGAUAAUAUCCUUGCAAAAAAUCUGCUGCAUCCAUUCUUCCAAAAGCCUUCACAAAGCAACCUACACAACACUUAAAAGAAUUAACACAAAGUUUCACCAUCAACAAAUCAUAAUUAAAAUAAGAUGCAAUAAAAAUACCUUCCAACAUAUCUUAAUCACACUAAGAAGGGAGAGUCUUAUUCAAAUUUGUCAUUGAUGUUUUACUCCCCAUUUCUACAAAGUAUAAUAAAAUAAAUCAAACCAAUUUGAGUUAGAACACAUAAAAAUAAGAAAAUAAUCGGAUUCAAAUAUACUUAUAGAAAUGAAAAUAUUACCCAUUUCAAUUGAUUCAUAGAACUCCAUCUUUUGUGAAUGAAAUCAAACAAAGGGUUAGGUUACAAACAAGCUUCAUUUGUUCCAUAAACAAGCUUCACUCAAAACAGUAACAACAAAGAUAGAUAUACAUUACAAAAAGUAAAUCAUAUGGGGACACAAAUGAAAGACUGAAAUGAACUUAAGUGCAAUAAAAUAGGGUCCAACAGAAAAGUAUGAAUCAAAAGAGAGCAGCAUAGAAAAGCAUAAACGAAAUCAAACAAGAAUGUUCCAUCCACAUAUCAUAUUGGCCACCACAGUUUUAUAUAUAACUGAUAAGAAAAAUCACAGAUAGAGGAGUAGAAUCCAAUACCAAUAAGAAGUUCGGUGCCACUGGGUUUAGCUUCCCCAAACAUCCAUGCAAAUGACAGUGCCAUUGUUGCAAUCAGAACCGCGAACACUGCUUCCAGCUUCCUCACACCAUAAUUUUCAAGAAAAAGAAAGAUGAAACUGUAGCAAGGAAACAAAUGAAAUUAUUUUCGAGUUAUCAAUUUUAAAAUAGUUGCAAGUUCAAGGAAAAAAAAAUUUGGUUCAGUUCUAAGACAAUGCAGGAAAAGAAAGAAACUACAAGCUUGGACUAUCAGAAACUUUAUUCUUUUGAACCUUAAAAACUGAAAAUUAGUCAGCGAGAACUAAUAAAUCUAUUCGGCAUGGUUGAAAUGAGCUUCACUUUCCAGAAAUUAAAUAUUUUUAAAUCUUGGAUUUUCCAGGCAACCAAGCAGAAUUCAAUCCUUCACUUUGAAUAGACUCUCAAAUUCCUGAUUUCAAACAACACUACAUCUUUCUAUAAACUGAACUAAGUCAACUGGCUGACUAAGAACUUCAAAUCUUUAACACAACUACAGAAAGCGCCGAAACCAGUGGCCCUUUGAAAAUUGUGAAAGAAUCAAACAUACUCAUAUCAAAGAAAAGCCACAGAAAUUGCUUGCACAUUAAAUACCAAAAAUCCAUACAUCGAAAGUAAAGCCAUGUGGAGCUGAUGAUAUAAAAAUAUGUAAUUCUAAUGCACACAUUCAAUUUUAAGCCACAAAUAGAGAUUGAGACAGAAAUAUUUAUACCUUCAAUUUUGCCUAUUAAUCCAAACCCACAGAGACUAAGCACAACUACUGCAAAAUUAAGAACAAAUUGUGUUAAUUACAACAGAAUACCAAAAUUUCAAAACCCUAAUAAUCUACUAAAUUAGGGAAAAUGAAAACAACUAAGAAUUCAAACCAAAUACAUACAAAUUACCUUAGAAUGAACCAGAGCCCUCCAGAAUUUACAAGGAUUCGCUCCAAAAACCAAUAAAAUUGGAUGAUGUUUGGUUCGGUUUGGAGAAAGAGAAUGAGUCUCGCGCGACUCUAAGAGACUUAAAGAUGUGAAGAGUGAGAGAGAGCCAAGGGAUGAGUCGAGAGAGAGACAGAGAGCCAAGGGACGGCGGCCGAUGAGGUGAGGGUUAGUCUCAGAUCGGGAGAGAAAUAGUGUAGGGUUUCGUUUCGUGAGUUUCAUGAGGGAGUGAGAGAGAGAGAGAGAGAGAGAGAGAGAGAGAGAGAGAGACGGCCGAGUGAAUGAGAGAGUCUGAGAGGGUUAUUGAAAAAAUAAUAAACAAAUAAUUGAGAGAGGUUCUAAUAUAGUGCAAGCAGACCCACCCAAAGUUCUUAUUUAAGCCAAUGAGACAACGCCAUGUGUCAAAAGCAUAUAUAAUUAAAUAAUGGUCGGUUCGGUUCAGGUUCAACGGUUCAAAAAAUUUUAGACCCGAAGGCUGAACCGAAGUCAACGGUUCGGUUCAGGUCCAGCGUUGACUUUUUCGGUUUGGUCAAAAAAACCUUAUUUUUCGGUUCGGUUUGGUUUGGUUCGGUCGGUUUGAUCGGUUUAUCGGUUUUUAUGCCCACCCCUAUACGUAGGCAGCCUAAGGUUAUUAGGUGUAGCCGCAGACUAAAUGUUAGUCUUAUAGAGAUUGGUUCGGACCUUGUUGUUGGCCUGAAUUGAGGUGAAAAUGUGAUUGUGUUAGGAGGCUAAAACCUUGCAUGUUGAAAUUUAACAGUCCUAGUUUAUAUUUUAAAUUUAUUGUUUGCCUUGCUUAAGGCGUGAAUUGAGUUGCUAGCAUGCUUGGUAGUUGAGAAUUGUAGGAAGGCCGAAGGCCAUUUGUGUGAAUUGCAUGAAAUUAUAUUGUGCAUGCUGCCAGUUGGGAAUAUUAAAUGCGUUUUCAUGCAGGUAUAAAUUUUGGGAAAUGUCCAAUUUAUAGGGGAGACUCUGCCGAAUUUUCGGCAGGAAGUCUCGGUUUUUAGUAUUUGAGCCUGGCAUCGGAAGGAUGUCGGGAAUUCCAAAGGGUUCGCCUCGAGUUCUGAAAAAUUCGGGGCGGGUCCUUUCACCUAGAUUAACAUAUAUUAAAUUUGAGACCAUCCAACAGUCCCAACCUAUCGAACCCGAAUAACGCUCAAUAUGCGAUCGUCCGUUAGAUAGUCAAACGACGUCCGAAUUGAGAUCCGCGAAAUCCUACGCACUCGUGGCAACCUAAGGAUCUCAUCAAGACACAGUACUACUCUACUACCAUUGCCCAUGCGCCGCCACACGCGCCGGCAGCGUUGGGUGUCUAAAGCGAUUACGCAUCGCCGGAAAAUCUCAAAACCACGGCUCCAAACUCCUACCCUAGGUAUAACACCCUAUUUGGAGUCACUUUUGUUCUUGGACCUACCCCAAAAACUGACCCGAAGUGGCCGGAAUCGUGAUCUAAAAACCGGCCGAAUUUCAAUUCGUAAAUCAAAUUGGCUACGCUAAGAAUCGAUCCAAUCCUACCCAACAGGCAGCUAGAGCAUGAAAAAUAGGUGAGAAACCAUACCAUGCUCGUCGGAUUCGGUGGCUGGAGGAGGGAGAUCGACGGCAGCGAAGAUCGGACGACACCGGCCGCUUCUUCUCCAUUUUCCAGAGAAACUACAGCGGCUGGAGGCGGGAGUCGGCUGGGGCUGGAAGAGGACGACGCCCCGGUCAUUUUGGUACCGGCCCCAUCCACAGCCGUGGCCGGUGGUCGGAGUUGCGAGGAGAGAGAUAGAGGCCGACGGGGAGAGAGAGAGAGCUCGCAGGAGGGAGAGAGAGAAAGAGAGAGAGAGAGAGAAAAAAAAAAUCUGAUUUUUAUAAAAAUCCCAUUUCGAAAUAAUUACGAUUGUGCCACUGGAUUUCUUUUGACCAUAUCUCUCUCGUUACAACUCCGAUUCGAGCCCACUAGCUGUCUACAAACUCAUCUCAGUACAUCCUAUCCAAAAAUACUAGUCACUGCCCCAAACUCUCUCCGGUUAAGAAAGUGACCAAAAUGCCCUUAUCUCAAGGGUAAAUUUAUAAUUUCCCUUAAAUAAUUUAAAUAACUUAAAUAAAGGUUAAAUUUGGAGUCGGGGUGUUACAUUGAAAGUCCGAGGAAGGGAAAAAUUGAAAAGCCGACUGAAUAAUUUAUCCAAAUUUGAUUUAUUCAUGAUAGUCGUGGACGAAAGUUCUUCCUUCCAAACAAUGACGACAUAAUCAGUCAAGCAAGAUAGCAACCCAACAAUACCUCUUGAAGUUGAACCCAUAAGCCGGCUCUAGUACAAACCAGACCCAACCCAUAACUUGUGCAGGCUGUAUGCUUAUGGGUCCUCCAAUAAAUGCGUGAACCUGUAGCUUUUGUUUUUGUUGUUAUAUGACCACUAUUAAUUAAAAACUUGUUUGCAUGCAUGCUGUAGCUAAUUUUUUUUGUUUUAAAAAAAAACACGAGUAGUAUGCAAUUUUUCUCUCUUUUUUCCUUUGAAGUUUUUUAUUUGUUUUAUUUAAACACAAUAUGUUACGAUGAGUUUUUCUUAGGGCAUAAUGAUCACGGCCUUGGGUGAACCAUGACCGAGUGGUUGAACCAUUUUAUAAGAAGGGGUAGCUCACAUUUGAAAUUUUUUUUUUUGGAGCUCAAAAGUUGUGAAAGUUGAAGUCCUUGCGGCCUGUAAUUUCUACUUGUAGAUCUAUAGCGCCGCUCUGUGUUGACACGCCACUCCUACUUGGUUGCCCGUUACUUACCAGGAGACGACAUCAGAACCCACGUUUUAGAAUCCAAUUCAAGUUUUAUUUUUAAUUAAAAAAAUACAAAAUUUAAAAAUAAAAACGUGUGGGCUUCGAAAUUCAUUAUGGGUCGGGUUUCACCAUAGUUUGGGUUUCGAAAUUGUGAGCUUUGGGCUUCAAAGUUUUUUGGGUUUCAGUUUGCGGAAGCCUGUGUGAUUAGGGGUUACUGUCUCAUUUUUGUUUGUUUGUUUUGUAAUUUUUAUUUUUGUAUUUUAAUUCUUGUAUUUUGUGAUUUUUAUUUGCUUUUCAUUUGUUGUUAUGACAUUACUUGUGGCUAAUUUUUAAACAUUGAGGAUAAUGUUCAUUUCUAGGUUUGGAGGUAUUAGAAUUUAGCAAGUAAUUUUGAUUUAUUUUUUUUUCAUUUUCAUUUUUUUUUUCAGUUUUUUUUUUGAGUCACUUCCUAAGUACAUAUGAUGAGAUUGUGAUAACUGUUUGCACAACUUAAAUGAAAAUUGGAUUUCAUUUUAUUUUAUUUUAAAAAAAACUAUUUUAAUUAAAAAAUAAUUUAGCAUCAUUCUAGCAUGAUAUGUUUGAAACCUUCUUUAAACUUGCCAUUUGUUUCAUAAUUUUCCAAUUAAAGGAUUUGCAUGAUCCAAAGAAUUGUAUCAAGCAUAAAGUAGACUUAUAUAACCAUUUAAAGCGAGCUUUUGAGCCUUGCACUUCAAUUCAUGAGUGUUAUACACACUCUUAUUUUCUUGUCAUCUAAGUUGUUGUUUGAUCUCAUUAUUCAUUGAUUUGAUUGAGCACUUGAAAGUCAUUCAUUCUUAUACAAUUUAAUUACAUGACAUUUAAGAAAUGAUAUUAAGGCCCUCUUUAAUCGUUUGUGCCUUUCAAGCUAACCUUAUGCAUGAUUUUCCAUUGUUAACCAUUCUGAGCGUACAUGUAAACCUUUUCUUUCAUUUAACCAAGGCUUAUUUAUGUACAUGCCCCAUGUGCUUUCAAAGUUGUCUCAAAUUACCACAUGUGCUUUGAAACGUCUCAAAAUACCCCUUACACUUUUAAAAACUGUCUUACGUUACCUGUUCCGUCAGUACUAAGAGACGUUCUGUUACAUGGUGUGGGCCCCACUUCUUUUAAAUCGCUUAACAAUGGAGAAUAAGAGUUAUUCAGUUUCAGAAAAAGGGGAAAUUGGGUGAGAAGGGGAAAUUGGGAGAAGAGGGUAGGGUUUAUGAAAAUAUGUCUAGGAUUUUUGGUGCACUAUUCUACUCCACUAAGGUGCUGCCCUCCUCAUCACUGCCAUUUGAGCUUAUGCACAGCAGGGUUUGGCAGAUUCAAAACCCUAAGGAUUUCAUUCUGUCAGUGAUCCAUCAAUGGCGGGUUGAAGGGGGAGACGUGAAGCAGCCUGAGCUCCAAGGUUUCAUCAAGCGGCUCCGAGUGUAUAGUCGCUACGGCCAUGCUCUGCAGAUUUUAGAGUGGAUGAGUGAUGAACUAAAUAACCCUAGCCCUCUUCUUAAUCCUAGCCCUCUUCAUCCAAUUUCCACUUUUCUGAAACUGAAUAACCCUUAAUCUCUAUUGUUAAGCGAUUUAAAAGACGUGGGGCCCACACCACGUAACAGAACUUCUCUUAAUACUGAUGAAACAGGUAACGAGUUCAUAAACAUGCGGCACGCCCAAUUCCGAGUUGUAACGAAGGAGCAAACGUCUAGAAACGAAAAGGAUGUAAUGGUAAUUUAAAAUUUGCUACAGUACCCUCGACUUUUGGGCCACCACUGCCAUGGCUGGCCACCAAAUCUGGCGGAACUGGUAUCAAAACGUCAAGCGCGACUUCCUCUUCAUAUCCCACUCCUUCGUCGCCCUAGCCGCCGCCUCGUAUCGCCGGCAUAUCAAAAAAUCCGAUCGGUUUUUACCCAAAAGUUCCAUCACUCGUUUCGACGAUUCUGGCCACCAAUUUCUUUGAACUAAGGAUGUUUUUUCAUCCUCUCAAUGUGUUCAAGCUGAUGGUUGGAUUGUUUAGGAUUAAUUUUUGCAUUUUGAAACUAAAUUUAUUGCUUAAAGUUUUGGCCUUUUUCUGCUCGUAAUUCAAGCUAAUUGCGGUCACUUUUGGCAAUGGUCCAAACAAAAAUUUCUCCAUUCAUUGUUCUGAUCAUGUAGGUAUAGGUCUUGACCUAUGGUUUGGAGAUUUUUUGAUCUCCAGAAUCGCUUUGGUUACCCAUGCGUUGUGGCUGUGCGUGGGCCACUUUGUGGUGGAUCUUUGGGUUCUAGAUUAAUCUCCAUGUCAUCCCGAGCACGAUGGUGUGCUCGGAUUUGAUAUUGGUUAUCAUUUGACCGUCAAUCAGAUAUCGCAUAUUGGGUGUUAUCCGGGUUCGAUAUGGUCAGACCAAUGGAUCUAUUCCAAUUCAAAAUAUGUUGAUCUAGGCAUCUCUAUGAUCUUGUAAGAAGUCGCGGAUCGUGAAUCGGAGUCCCGAAUGCUCCAAUUCAAUAAUUUAAGUUUAGGAUAAACGAUAACCGUCUGGAAGUGCACAAGGACGCUAGGUGUGCAGUAAACAAGAUUAAUAAUAGUACGGACGCUCUUUAUCCAUCCAGGGAGCCUAAUUCCUGCAGUUCUGCCGAUUUUGACGCUUGGUGAAAGGCUAGAUUCCAAGGCUUGCCUGCCUCCAGCACUGCACUGAAAAUCCUUUUUUAUGGCUGGGAUUCCUGGGUCGUUCAUGCAGCAGAGGAAACUCACAAAUUCAUUGUGCAGACCAUCAAGGACAUCAAUGCUCAAGUUAUAGAAGGUAGAUUCUCAAUUCUAUAUUUUACUCAUUCUACCUUUGUGAUGAUGCCUAAUACUUUGUUCUGUUUGCAUCAGACCCUUCCUCGACAAAGAACAUAGGUGGACAGUCUAUUCAGGCUGGAGAGGUGAUUGGUAAGUUUUUCAUCAUUCUGUUCCUUCUAUUACUUUCCUGCUGGAUUGAAUUCUGACUUGUCUGUUUCCUGUGCAAUCACUUCUGUCAUUUAUGUUGGGGACCUAGAGCUUCCCUCCAGAGAUGAAGAGGAUGAAGCUCAGGCAGAACAACCAGCUAUUGAGGCCACUCCUUCUGGCAGAAAGAACAAGAGAAAAAGGACUGCUUCAGUUCAAGAUAGUUCUGCUUAUCCUGCAACUUCCGGUAGAUUUUGAGCGUUCAUAAUUCUGUUCUGCCUUGUUUCGCUUAAUUCGGCUCAUGUUCUAAUCAUCUUUUGUCUGUUUAUCACAGCUGAAAGUCAUUCUCCUCCUCUUACUAAAUCAAAAAGACUUAGGAAGAGAACUAUGGUGGAGUAUGUGGCCAUGGAAGAACCUGCAGCAGUUCCCACCACAACUUCUAGCACAGAUGAAGAGCUAUGUGAGGCCUUCGAGGUGGUAGAGCAAGAGAAAGAGCUAGAAGAAGAAGAAGAAGAAGAAUGAGCUCAAGAAAAGACGAAAGAAAUGAAAGAUGAGGUGAAAUCUUGUUGACUGUAUCAGUAAUUUUUGUCUUUUGAUUUCCUCUAUUCAGACUUCUGUCCUUCUGCAAGAGGAAAUCCCCGCUGAAGUAAUUGCAGAGAGCAUUGCUUUAGCGCAGAAGCAGCAAGAGACCCCAAGCGUAAAACUGACCAGCUCAGAGUUGGCUCUUUUUGAGGAUGCAGAGGCGGAACAUUCUACUGCCGUUCCAGUAUCUAAGGAGCAGGUGGAACAGUCUGUAUCAGAACCUGUGGAUAAUGCAGAACAACCCCAGAAGCUAGAAUGGAAGUAGCUGCUGCUGUUCUUGAUCUUAUGGUAAUUUUUAUUUUAACUCUGUGCAUCUGUUUCCAGCAGUUCUACCCUGUCUUUACUUCUUUAACUAUUUGGUCUUUUCAGGUAGAAGUGCCUAGAACUGCUGGGGUUUUGGCAAUGAUGACCAGUCCUCUGAAGCCUCCGAUUAUCGCUGUAAGUACUUUAUUCUUUUUGGAUUUUCCCUUGAUUCCAAAAUUUUGCGUAGAACUGACUUGAGUUCUUCUUGCAUAUGCCCAUCCAGUCCUUUCCAGGUUCAUCUGCCACUGCUUCCUUUGCUGAUUCGGAGUUGGCGGAAUUUGAGGCUAUGGAUCUGGAUGCCCAGCUAGACCAACUAGAAAAAUUCAAUUCUACCCCUGGAAAGGCCAAGUCCAAAGCGGUUGGCAAAAUGCAGGGAGGUGCAGAAUAGACUUGGUGCUGGAUUGAGUUCCAAGACCAAGGCUACCUUUCUUGUGCAGAGUAUGGUUUCAGCUUCCAGGCCAGCCUUAGAGAUUGCAGAGGCUUCAAUCCACCAGGGGGUCCUGCUCCAAAAGGAACUCUCGAUCAAGAAGAUUAGCUUGCAAUAAACCCUUAGGAAAUUAGGGUUUUAAUUUUAAAUUCUGACUGUAAUAAACAAUUAGUCACGAGAGUGACUAUAUUUAAUAAAAAGUCAUUUAUUUCGUGGAACUUUUCGUAUUUGCAACUCUUGUCAGAAUAAAAGGAAGUAGAAAUAAUAAGAGAAAGACUUAACAAACUAUAAUAAAGGAAAAAACACUGAACAGAAAUUUAAAUGACAGUUUCAUUUUGUUCCUUCUCUAUCCCGGGAUCUGUUGGAUAAAAAAAUUUCAACCACUUGCCAUUGAUUGAUGCAGCGUGAACAUCUCCAUCUCGACCCUGUAAUCUGUAUGCCCCCAGUCCAAGGAUUUGGUUAAUUAUGAAAGGACCCUCCCAUGUAGGUGACCAUUUUCCAUAACUAGCUAUAUGUGUUCCAAGGGGCAAAACUGCUUUCCAGACUAUUUCUCCUUCUUCAAAACUCUUAUUUUUCACUCUCUUGUUGUAGGCCCUUGACACAACCUGUUUUCCUGCUAACAGAUUGUUGAGGGUAUCAAUCCUACUUGCAUCCAAUCCUUCUAGUUCUAGCAGCAUGGCUUGAGAGUAGUCUUCUCCAAUCAAACUGUGUUGAUGGGCAAUUCUGAGAGAUUGGACUGCUAUCUCCAUAGGCAGAAUUGCAUCAUGGCCAUAAGUUAGGGCAUAUGGGGUCAUGUCAGUUGCUUCCCUCUUUGAAGUCCUAUAUGCCCAUAGGAUUUCUGACAAUUUCUCAUGCCAGUGCUUUGGAUUUUUCUCAAGCAUUUUCCUGAUAAUAUUGAUGAUCAACUUGUUACUUGAUUCUGCCUGUCCAUUAGCCUGAGCAUGGUAAGGACUGGAUUGAAGUAGCUUAAAUUUGAAUGCUUCUGCUAUAUCUAGCAUCUCUCCAGAUAUGAAAGAAGAUCCCCUGUCUGUUGUGAUUGAUUUUGGAAUGCCAAACCUUUAUAUUAUCUGUUCUUCUAUGAAGGUGAUGAUCUCUUGAGAUGUAGUGGACUUAACAGGCUUGGCUUCCACCCAUUUGGUGAAAUAAUCUAUAGCUACAAUGAUGAAACAGUUUUGUUUGCUGCUGGCUGGAUAAAUCUUGCUGAUGAGAUCCAUUGCCCAUCCCCUGAAUGGCCAUGGCUUGACUACUGGAUUCAUGGGAACUGAAGGAGCCUGCUGGAUUGGACCAUGCCUUUGACAAGCCUCACAUCCCUUGGAAUAAUCAAUGCAAUCUUUCAUCAUGGUUGGCCAAAAAUAGUCAUACCUUCUAAUUAACCAGCACAUUUUUCUCCCACCUUGAUGAGCUCCACAAAUUCCUUCAUGGGUUUCUCUCAUGACCUUCAUGUAUUCUUUCUUUCCAAGGCACCUUAGAAGUACCUCGUCUUUGCUUUUUCAGAUCAAAUCUCCAUUCCACAUAAGGUAAUUCAAAGCCAUGAUUCUGACUCUUUUUUCGGAAGCAGGGUUGGAUACUGCAAGUAAUUUAUGAUAGGAUUUCUCCAAUCAUCUUCAGUGAUUAUGGCAGAAUUGACAUCUAUCUUCAUCCCUCUGGUUAGAACAGAUGGUAGACUUUUCUUUCCUACCUUGAUGAUCCUUUGCACACAGUCUUCAAGCAUUUGUAUGCAUGUUGCUACUUGAGCCAAUUCAUUGGCUACAAAGUUUUCUUCUCUUGGGAUAUGUUCCCAAGUAGCCUCCCUGAAUUCUAUCAGAAGGUUUCUAGCUGCCACUAGGUAAACAGCUAAAGAAGGACUUAGACACUUGUAUUCUCCAGUAAUCUGUUUUAACACAAGCAUAGAAUCUCUCAGGAUCUCCACAGAUUGGAUCCCCAAUUCCACCAGCAUUUCUAGGCCAAUGAUCAAAGUCUCAUAUUCAGCCCUGUUGUUGGUGCAUUGGAAAUAUAACUGGAAGGAAUAACAGUGUCUGAUCCCCAGUGGUUCUUCCAAAACAAUCCCUGCCUCAAAGGCUACAUCAGUUUUUGAUCCAUCAAAAUACAGCUUCCAAGGUGUGAGGUGAACUAAAUAGAUGGGAUUGUUAAGGCAAGUAUGAGCUCUAGUCAGCAGAUCUGCAUUUGCUAUGUCCAAAGAGUCCAUGUUUUCAUUCUCUUUUCCUGGAUGAUUUGCUAGGAAAUAUGCUACAGCUUGUCCUUUGACAGCUUUCUGAGGAACAUAUCUGAAAGCAAACUCUAUCAAAUCCAGUGUCCAUUUUCCAAUUCUGCCUCUCAACAUCGGUCCUAUUAGCAUGUAUUUGAUCAGGUUCGUCUUGGCAAUGAUGUAGAUGGUGAAUAGUAGCAUGUAGUGUCUGAGUUUCACAGUAGUGAAGUAUAAGGCUAGACAAAGCCUUUCAAUUGCAGAAUAUCUCCUUUUUACUUCUGUCAGAAAUCUGCUCAGAUAAUAGACUGCCUGUUCCUUUCCUUCCUUGUUAUCUUGAACUAACAGACUCCUAAUGGAUACUUCUGAUGCAAACACAUAGAGUUUGAGUGACCUGCCUCUCUUUGGUGGGGACAGAACUGGUGGAUUUGAGAGGUAAUGUUUGAUUUCUUCCCACUUAAACGUCUGUUCUUGUUUUAAUCUUAGCAAGGAGGAGAAGGGCUGGAUUUUUCCCACAGAAUUAGAUAUGAAUCUCCUUAGAAAAUUAAUUUUUCCUAGGAGACUUUGCAGUUCUUUCUUGUUUCGGGGUGAUAGAGCUUCUAUGAUGGAUUUCACUUUGUUUUUCUCAAUCUCUAUGGCCCUUUGAUGGACCAAGAAACCUAAGAAAUUUUCUUCUUGAACUCCAAAAACACAUUUCUUGGGAUUCAUUUUCAAUUUAUGUUGUCUCAUCCUUAGGAACGCCUUUCUUAUGUUUGAAACGUGUUCUCCCUCUUUUGGGGAUUUAAUCACCACAUAAUCUAUAUACACCUCCAGAGAAUGUCCUAUCAUAUCAUGAAAAACAGAGUUCAUUGCUCUUUGAUAAGUAGAUCCUGCAUUUCUUAAGCCAAAAGACAUUACAGUGUAUUCAAAAGCACCUAUAUGUCUUGGGCACAUGAAGGCUGUCCUAUGGAUGUCUUCUUCUGCCACCAUAAUCUGAUUAUAUCCUGCAUUGCCAUCCAUAAAAGACAGCAUUUGGUUAUGAGCAGCUCCAUCUACUAGCAUAUCUGCCAUUGGCAUAGGAUAUUCAUCCUUGGGGGAUGCUUCAUUUAGAUUCCUGUAAUCCACACAAAUCUUAACUACCCCUAUUUUUCUCUUCAGAACUGGCACAAUAUUGGCCAGCCAAUCAGCAUAAAUGGUUAGUCUGAUGAAUCCUGCUUUGAGCAAUCUCUCUAUUUCUUCCUUGACUUUCAGUUCUGUCUCCAUAGACAUUCUUUUUCUAGCAUGUUUGACUGAAAGGUAGCCUUCUUUGAUUGGCAGCUUGUGUUCUACCAACUUUCUGUCUAAUCCAGGCAUCUCAUGAUAAUGCCAAGCAAAACAAUCUCUAAAAUCGUGCAAAAGUGCAAUGAUUAUACUUUUGAGUGGCUCCUUUAAUAAUGCACUAAUGAAAGUGGGUCUUGGAUCCUCUUCUGUCCCUAAGUUUAUCUCCUGCAAUAGAUCUUCCACUUCUGGCAAAGAGUCAUCCAGUGCUGCUAGUGCAAAAUCUAGUAUUUCCUCCUGCAAACUCUCUUCCUGCUCUUCAGUUCUCUCAUGGGUGAAUUUUGCCAUAUUGAUGGCUGGAUCCUGCAUAAAGAGCCUCCUUUCUUCCCAAUAUAUCAACAAUCUUUUUGUAAUGGAUUGGAUUGUUGCAGCUCGAUCCUUUUCCUGUUGAUUGGGACUAAACAUUAGAGUUCUGGAGGUUUAGAACAAAAGGACUAUUCCAGUCUUCUAGAGAACUGGCUAAACCAUCCUCGAUGAGUCUUUGGGCCAUGACACCAUGGGGGCGGCCGUUCUGGUUGACUCCAAGGAAUGUGAAAGGACCAAGGUCAUUGUGAUAAUACCUUGCCUCAAAACACAUGGCAGAAGGCAGAAAUGGCUGUGGAUCGGCCUCUACUAUCCCUAUGUAACCUUUUUCAUUCCAAAAGGCUAGUUGCUGAUGUAGAGUGGAAGGAACACAUAGACUUUGGUGGAUCCAGUCCUUGCCAAGCAAUGCAUUGUAAGUGGUAGAAGUGGUGUCUACCACAAAUAAUGCAAUCUUAAGCUCUUUGGUUCCAACUAUGACAUCCACAUCCAGGAUUCCGUGAGUCUUAGUGAUGCCCCUAGCAAAGUUGGUGACGGUCAGGCGUGUCGGAAUCAAAUCUUUCUCUGUUCUGCCCAUCUUGCUCAACAGUCUAUGGGGUAAAAGACUAAUGGCUGCACCUCCAUCUACCAUUACCCUGGGAAUAGGAAUACCCCCAAAGUUUGCUGUUAUAAAUAGAGGUCUGAGAUGAUUAGCCAUCUCUUUGGUUGGUUUGGAGAAGCAAAGCUGUUCUGCAGCCAAUUUCAUGGUAGUUCCGCAUGUCUUGGCAGUAGGUUGUCGUUGUUCUGGUGGCUCUUCUACCUCUGCCAAUUUGCAUUCAAAACUUUCUUGGGAGAACAUGUCUCCUUCCAGAGUGUUUUCUUGUCUUUCUGCCACCCUAAAAUUUUCUAGCAAAAUGAACACCAUGUUGAUGCCUAGAUCACCCUACAAUAGACUUUCUAAUUCUACACCAAAAGCCUUGGUUUCUUCAUCUAGUUCUCCAUCAUACUCCAUCUGUUCUUUCCCAUACUCUUAUGUCCAGUCUUCCUGUUCUCCUGUUUCGAGGAGUCCAUUCUGGUCAUCUGCAGAUGGUUCAUAAUCCAACUGCUCCUCUUCAUAGUCUUCAGUCCAGUCUUCUUGUCCUUCUAUUGGAAUAGGUUCAGAUUCACCUUGUAUUUGCGAAGGUUCAAGCUGAUUUACUGAGGAUGAGGCAGGAUGGAUGGAAGAUCUGCCUGGCGAUUCUGUUUUCAUCAGCUCUUGUUGCUGAUCUGUUGUUUGUUCUGUCUGGGAACUAUUUCUGGACUUUUCCCUCUUCUCGCAGAACUGGUCCCUAGAAGUACCCGUGUGUCAUCCCUGUUCUUGAAGAAGGUGCAGUAUUGUAUUUGAACUCUCUUUUUUUGAGUUCUGGUUAACUCCAAAGUUAGUCUACUGCUUUUUUCAACAAAAUACCAUCUGCCUUCUAUAAUAGUUGCCAAGGGCUUGUCAUUUCCAGGCAUCUUUAUUGGUUUUUCUUUCUUUGGCUGCUCUGCCAUUCUUCUGCUGCGCUGAGCAGGCGUAAGAUAGUCCCUCUGUCUAGUUCUGUCUUUAGAUGAAACCGAGACUAGACUGUAGGUAUGACGUCCCGAUCCUAUCAAAAACGCUGGGUGUGGGCUAACUCUGCCUGUCCAGAGUCACUUCUAAUUCACUUUCACACUUGCACUUGCUGCACAGCACUACCCCAGUCGAGAUGGUUGCCUUUGGCCUUGGACUAGUCUCUCUUGUGACUCUUCUGCCUUUGCCGGAGCUAGCUUCUGUUGCUGGUUUGCCUCUCUUCUAUUCUGGCCAAUUUAAGUUGACCAUGUUGACUUGAGGUUGGGGAAAAGGAUCUGUUGUAACUGAAGGAGGUUUUUCAGCCACUUUUAGCCUUCCUACUGUUAUUCCUUCUUGUGUGACGUCUCUGAAAACAACACAACUGUUGGUGGAAUGGUUCCAAGAGUUGUGCCAUCUGCAAUACUGUCUGCUUUUGAGUUCUUCUAUAGCAGCAUUUCAUCAAACAAAGCAUCUACCUUGGUUAGAUCAAAGGAAUAGACCUUGUUCUGUGUUGGUUUGUUUGGAACAAACCCUCCUGUGAAUGGUGGCGGCUUCUGGUCUUUUGGUGGCUUUGUAAGAGCCUUGCAAUUGAUGGGAUGUUUAAGCUUUGCCAUUUCUGCCACUGCAAUUUCUCUCUCCUUCGAGCCUUCUGUGUCUUCUUCAGACUCUACUUCAACCAGAUGUAUUAAAGAAGCAUGAGUUUUAUAGUAUGUCCCUUUGGAAGAGUUCCUCCUCUAUUGUUCUUCCCUGAAUAGCUCCUCAUAUUUAGAUGCCUUGUCUACCAGUUCUGCCAGAUCUCUAAACAGCAUCCCAUUAAAUCUCUUUCUCAUAGAGAUUUUAAGGGUGGUUUGAGCCAUCUAGAUUAAGUGUCUUUCUUUCAUAGGGAUUCAGCAUUUCAUUUUAAGCUUUCUGAAUCUGAUUAUGAAGUCUUGGGCAAGCUCAUCUUCACUCUGUUUGAGGGCAGCAAGAUCACUAAUGGUGACUUCUGGCUGGAUCCUGAAAUAGUAGUCAUGGAAAAUAUUUUCCAUUUGCUCCCAGGUUUGAACAGAGUUGGUUGGUAUACUGGUGUACCAGGUGAAGGCUUGUCCAGAGAGAGUUUCCAAAAAGUCUCAGUUUUAACAAAGGGUUAUUCUCUAUGGAUAUGCAUUGGACAGAAAACCUGCCUAUGUGCUCAACUGAUGAAGCAUGGGGAUCUUCUCCGUUGAACAAAGUGAAGUUUGGCACCUUAAAACCCGGGGAUAGAGGUAUCUGAUCUAUGUAAGCCGAAUAUGGUUUUCUGUAGGUGGGCCUUUCUCCUCUUCUAGCUUCUGGCUCCAUCAUUUCCCUAAUCAUUCUUUGAAGUGCCCCCAUGUCAUUUAAAGCAUUAACAGGGGGCAGAUUUCGUCCUUGUUCUGGCUGGACGUGGUCAAUCCUGUGUUCUAUUCUGUAUGGCUUGGGCACUGCUUCCUCCCUGUGUUCUUCCUCUUCUUCAAAAUUUGGAUGAUUCCUCCAGUUUGCUCUCUGUCUGCUCCUGUCAUUGUUGGCAAAGGAGUUGAUUCCCCUUCUGCCUCUUCUGCCUCUCGCUAGUGGAGGGAAUGGAUUAGGAUCCAUCCUUCUAGGUCUGUACGGCGACAUAGCUGGUGCCUUAGGCGGAAGUGCUAAGGGCUGAUCACGUGGGGCCACAGGUUGUGGAAUAAGUGGAGGUUAUGGCUGAUUCUGUGGAACCUGAACUGGUACAGGGCCUUCUGGUCGAACUAGACCCUCCUGCUCUUGAAUGGGAAGGGCUCAUCCCCUCUGUCCAGCUUGGAUCUCUCCAUGCCCUGGUAUUCCAGCUACAUGUGCUAUGAGAGGGUUCUCCUGGUAUGGCCAUGCCAAUCCUGGUGGAGGGCUAUACGGGAAGUCUAGCUGUUGGACCAUUACAUCUGAACUGCCUGUUAACUUGCCAUUGCAUCAUGGCUGUCAUGUUAUUCAGAGUAUCCUGGCUCCUUUGUGCUGUGGCCUCUUGUCGGAAUACAGCUUCUUGCAUCUGAUUCAACCUCCUGGAGCCAGCUCUGGAACGUCUGCUCCCAGUACUGCCAUGGGCUGACUGUCUGGCAUCACUUUCUUCUGACUCCAGUCCUUCUCGAAGAACUACUUGGUCUCUCUCCAUGGCAUAACGAGGGUUCUGGCUAGAACUCCCAAUAUUCAUAUACUUUUAGAAGGCUUCUAUAUGAGUAUGUAUAUUGAGAAGUCCCACUAGGCGUGCCAAUUGUUCACCCGUGUUAAGUUUGCUCCUGUGAUGGAAGGGUAAAGUUUCCUAUUGCCUUGAAAAUCAUUAACUGGUCAACAAGUCAACUUUCUUUAGUGUGAGCGUGUCACUGCUAGUAAUAAAAAUCCUAGCAGACUUCUUAAAAAUAGAUAACUUGCACCCCAAGUUACUGACUUCUAAACAAGCGAUUGUGAAUUUGGGUGAGGAAUAUUUCCCAAGUAAGUUCUUUUCUUGCCUCAAACUAGUGAGGACUUCAUAAUUUUUCACAAUACAAACUGGUAGUUCUGGCCAGAAUAAAUAACAAGAAGAUGAGCUGUUUUCAGGCAGAACUGACUUUUACAAAGCUUAACAGUAAAAAAAUCAACUCUAUAAAGACAAAAAGAAAGCUAGACUUCCAUUUCUGCCUGGAUAGAAGCUUCUGAUCUGGGUUAGAUUGGGUAUGUCUGUACUGGAUUGGACUGUUCCCAACUUCAACUGCUGAGCUUCAGCUGUAAAUCGAUACCAAAGUUUGAGUUUGGCAGAUCUUUAAUCUAUUUCGAGUCCUAUGAGGCUUUUUGAACGGGCAGAAUUGCGGCCUCCUCAGUCUGAAAGGGGCGGAAGUGGCUGGACUAUGAGAAUUACUGAGCUGGAACCGUACUGUAGUACCUGUUCUACUCGAUCAGGGCUCUCCAUAAAUUUGUUGAGGUUUUCAUAUUUGUAAAAACCAGAACUCUGCUUGUUUUGGCUUUUGCUGAACCAAAUUCGUAACAAGAGAAAUCUCUUUUUGAAUGACUUAUUUCUCUAGGUUUGAACUGGAAGUUCUGAUUUGCUGCUGGCUUCUUUUAUGGCUCAAAUGAGCUUUCGGUUGCUUCAGUUUGUUUGAAAGUUCUCAGAGAUCAAGUGAUCAUUUUGAGUUUUUGUCUUUGGUUGAUUUUUUGGUUGUUUGAUUUGAUUGUCCUCAACCUGUUCACCCUCUCCUAUAUUUAUAAGAAUGUUUUUUUGGAGUAGGGUUUCUAAUUCUUUUAAUAAUGGGCGGCAAAAAACUCUCAAAAAGAUCUCUCAUCUUUAAUUGUAAAGAAAAGGGAUUCCAUCAGUUCUGGCAGAUAAGCCAUCAAUGGUCAGUUUUUAAAAUAAUCACUUCCCUAUUUUUCUUGAAAGAGAACCAAUCCCAUCUCUAAUUCCAACUGCCCCCCCCCCCCCCCCCCCCCGGUGCGAGCUCAAACUGUGAGGGUUAGUGUGACUUUCUAUUUGAACAACUCCCUGUUACCUGCUUAUCUCUUUUGAGAGUAUAGCCUGCGUAUCUUUUGAAAAGAUGGUGGCUUCCCUGGAGCAGAAACAAUAUCUCUUAUUUAUAAAAAAAGGGUUUUGAUCUUUUAGCCCCAGAGUUUUAGAGAAGUCUCUUUGCAAAUGACGUGCUUUCAUUUAAUUCUCAAUCAACUCUUUUGCUGAAAUUGUUGACUUUCUAAAUCGGUUAGUCACGUGGGUUCUGAGACUAAUCUUUCCAAAAGAUCUUACUGACUCUGCACUCUGGGUUUUUGAGAUCAGUGGUGAGCCAGAAGCUGGGCCCCAUUCAAUUUUUUAUUGAUUUGUUUCAAUGGUCUGAUUGCCCAUUAAUCUCGAUGUUUUUACAACUCUGCCAUUUUGUAAAAGACAUAGGCCUUAUGUUUUGGUUUUGGGCUUCCUCUUACUUUUGAAUCAAAGCCUAAUCCUCCCUUCUUCUUUUUUCUGUUUUGGAGGCCUUUGUGAAAAAUGGGCUUGCGUGCGAAUUUCUUUUGGCCCAAACAGGAUCCAGUGAAUUGAACAAGGUAAAUCCAUUUUUUUUAUUAAUCUCUAAUUGUUGUAUUUUUUAUUCACUAAUUUUAAAUUUAUUUUAUCAUUCUAUAGGUAGACCUAGCAAAAACUCUGUACCAUGAGAACGGCCCUCCUUUUCAUUUGGAACAUUAUUUUGCAGUUCUAAAAUGAAGGUAGAGAUAGGUUUGAUAAAGUGACGAUAUUUAUAGGAAAUCAAUGAUAUCUGAUAUGAGAAUCAAAUGGGUGAGAUGAAGACAAGAGAAUCUGAUCCAACAGUCGAAGAUGAGAUCAAAUUAUAUCAUGUCAUAUCUUGAAUUGUGUGCAAAUCAAAAACAAUAAUAAAUGUUGAAUUGUCUGCAAAAACGUGAUAAGAUACCAACAAUUCAGAUUAAAUGUACUUUAUAAUCCAACAAUUCUUUUUGGAUGAAAUCAUAUCUUCUCUGAAUUUAAAUAUUUUUAGGUCUAUUUGUUUGAAAAAAUAAAAUUAAACUAAUACAAAAAAAAAUUAUAAAUUAAACACAAAAUACAAAUUUAACUCAAAAACAAAUUAAGACAAACAAAUCAAUUAUACAUCUUUAGAUUUACAUAGUUUCCCAUUGGAGCAAAAAAUGUAUUUACACCCCCCCGGAGGUGUAAAUGGUGUAAAGAGGAUGUAAAAGUGGCGUUACAACCCCGAAAAUACACCCCAUACAGUGGUUGUAAAUGUGAUUUUUGCUCCAAUAGGGAAGAUGUAUAAUUGAUUUUGCUCAUUUUUGUCCAUCUUUUCUCACUUUUUCUCAUGUAGACCUGCAAGGAAUGUAAAAAAGGAUGCACAUGUGCAUCUAAAUUUGCAUAUCACGGUUGUGAUGUAAAUUUAUAAUUGUUUACAUCUCCCCAUUGCAAAUAAUUCCGAUCACAAAUGGUGUAUAAUUAACAUACAUUUUAAUAUACAAUCCUUCAUUGGAGAUGCUCUUAGUGCAAAUGCAUUGUGGAGGUGUAAAAGGAAAUGUAAACCCACUUCUACAUCUUCAGUUGUCGGAAAGUGUUGCGGUGGGCAAUUAUACAUGGGGGGUGUAAAAGUCUUGGUUUUGUUUAUUGGGAAGCCAAUUUAAGUGGCUUACAAAUUAGCUCUAUUUGCUUUCCGGUCAACUGCAACAUUUUAUGGUAUGGAGUUCCUCUUCGUAUCAUACAGAAUGCUCUAGUACUACACAUUUCCAUCAUUUUUUAGAUAUUCAUUUUUAUAAAUUUAGAUAAUAAAAAAUUGUGUGGUUUUGUCUAUUUAAACCACAACACUUUUUGACAUUUCUUUAUAGAACAUAAAAUAAAUUAAAGAUGCACAUCAUUAUUGCUCUAUCCAGAAGGGAGACCAAAAGAGGGGAUAAUUCAUACAAGCAGAAUCUCCAACAAGAUUCUAAUGUGAAAGCUUGCUUUUGUCAACCAUCCAUUUUUUAAGCUUUUGUUUUGUUUCUAGUCGUCUUUUGUUUUGUUUUUGCCGUAGAUGGCGGCCUAAAGCAGCACUAUUAACUGAAAGGUGCACCUCUAUUUCUCCACUCCCAAAGGCGGAAUUGUGUUUAGGCUGCCCUGGGCUUUAGCACAGUGCAGGUUUCGGCCCAAGUCUUUUUUGCCAUGUAUAAUUAUUGGGGCUUGUCACUAAUAGCCCAUCAAAACUAGCUUUAAAAAAUUUAGUGGGCGUAUUUUUGCUCAUCACUUUAAUCAAUGUGUACAUUCACCAUUAUUUUCAACACUUGACACGUGUCUAUUAAUAUAAUCAUGGUUCCAUAAAUACAAAGCAAAGAAUUAACUAUGGUUAUGCCAAUGAACACGUGUCAAGUGUUGAGAAGAGUGAUGAGAGUACACCUUGGGUUAAAGUGGUGAGCAAAAAUAUUUCCAAAAUCCAGACCAGCUCUAAUUACAACAACUAAGUCAUUCUAUAGUGACGACCUUAUCUAAAACGUUAAUUCAACGAUUAAAAUAUAGGGCCUCAUUUAAGAGCUUUAGAUAAAACCCUCACUUCUUUCAAAUAAAUAACAUCAGACCCUCACUGUAAACUCAAUGCAACUAAAUAAUAAAUACUCCCAGGUACAACUAGGCCCAUAAUACUGGAGCCCCAUUUUUAAGUUAUUACAUCGUGGUUAUUGAUUUGGAUUUUCUACUUUUUUUCCCGCCUUUUUUAACAAUAAAAUUAGCCCACUCCUUUGAUCUUGGUUCUUCCCUUGUUAAUGUCACAAAGUAUCCUGUUGUGACUGAGUAAUAAAAGUCACAAAAUUAGAGUGGAUAUUAUUUCUCUUAUGUCUUGUGUCCAUCAAUUAUUAACAUGUAAUAAAAAGGCAAAACAUAUAUUAAUAUUUGAGUGUUGCUAAACGAACCUUAAAAUUAACUGAGUACAUCCUAUAAUCUAAAUACACCCUAAUAUUUUAAUUAAAAUAUAAAAUUAACUAAAUACACCCUAUUUAACUACCAAAAAUACCCCCGAUACACUCUAAUACACUUUAUUACACAAUACGCUAAUACCAAUCUUAGACCAAAUUUCUCUUUUACAUGAAUUUAUGCUUUCUUUUCAGAUUUAUUAAUGUAUUGAAUUGAACUACAGAUACAAAUAUUGAACUUAUUAUUUGGUUUCAUAAGUUAUAUGAAGGAAUUUUCAUGGGCCCUCAACAUAUUAUUUGAAUCUAAACGAGAAAAGCAAGUCUGCAACAUACCCACAUGAUCAUGGAUCUCUUCAAAUCAUCAAUGUUAAACAACCCAGAAACUACUUCUUUUGAAGAACAAAUUAAAACCAAUUUCUAGAGGAAUGUUACAAAACCUUUGGGCCCAUGAAGAACAAAUGAAGACAGUAUAGCGUAUUUGAUAACAAAAUCAAAAUGAGAUUUAGCAAUACCAGACGAUCACGACGCCAGUAUAAUGGUACGAUGAUGUCACACCUCGGACCCGAGGGUAGGUGAAAAUCCUGUGCCCAACGUAUGGGAAAAUAAAAAUAAAAUAAAAUAAAAAGAUGCCGAAACAAUGGUUUAAAAUAAACUUCUCUUAUAAAAAUAGAUCCAAAAUCUUAUAACUUUACAAGAAAUAAAUAAAGCUCUAUCACUCUCGUCUAAUUUAGCCUCAACUGGUUUAGUCCUUUUCUUGUCCACUAAUUCAUUCGAAAAAUUAAACAGGGUGAGGGGUGAGCAACCACAGCUCAGUAGGGACAUGAGACCUUACCACAGUAGAUUGAUAUAACUAAAUUAAGUGACAUGCAAUCACACAACCAAAUAUCACAUUAAUAAUAAUAAUGCAUGAAUGCUCUUCAAUUCUACCCAACCCGUUAAUUUAUAUAAUAGGGCAAGCAAAUCUGCAUGCCCCAUACAAUGCAUUUUACCAUUGUGAUUCCGAAUGCCUUAUUAUAUAAACUAACACCCAUCUCAGUCAUCCCAUAAUUCCCCUUUUAUUAGUCGUCUUGUCUAUACCAUUGAUCUCCAAGCCCAAAUCACCCAAUCGACAAUUAUACCGCCGAUUUUCUAGUCUACUGUGCACACGGGCUCGCCUGGACUUGGUCCCUAUAAUGGUCAAACUCAACUACACAAAAGACUAUUUUCAUUACCCUCUUUUCCAUUAAUAUUUUCUCAAUCCAACAACUCCAACCAAUCUCCAUGACAUGAUAUAAUUAUGCCAACAUUAUUCAAAUAGUUCACAAUACGUAAAUAUCUCAUAUCAAGAACAUUAUACAAUAUCAUAUAUAAUAUAGAGCUCAUGAAAUUUAAUUAGAUCAAUCUUUAUAAAAGGUCACCAAAAAACCCCUACCUCAAUUCCAAAGCAUUUAUUCUCUCUCUCUCUUCUCUUUGCACAACUAUGCAUGACAACAAGUAAUGAAGUUCCUAUUUAUACUAGAAGAAGUCGGUUGCUAUCCUUCUAUCAUUGGUUAAUACUCUUAGCGGCAACACUUUAGGAUAACAAUAACUUGAGCUUUAUCUUCAAUCUUGGCAUGUCCCGCCACCUCGCAAGAAUGGUGGCACCAUCUCUAGCUACAAUACUCUUGAUCCAACACCUCAUACUAGAGAGUCCACCUCAUGUUUCUUAUGUCUUUUAAGCCUUAACUCCUAAGUUUUCAAUAAAAUAUAAUAUAAUUCAAGAUAAGAUAGGUUUAUUCAAAUCUAUCACUCACUUAGAUAUCUACCCAACGUGCACUCUGCUAUGCAAAUAAUAAUAUGGGUUUAUAUAUAUAUAAACUAAUAGUGAAAAUUGCACACAUAUAUAUAUUUAUAUAUUUAAUGAAUAUAACAAAUAAAUCUUCAAAUUAUAUAAUUUUAUAAAUACGGAAUUUCACAGACGACGAUGUUGCUGUAACGGUGGAGAAGCGGAUGGUAUGAUGACAGUGUUAGUGUGAUGGUGGAGGAGACGAUUUUAUGAAGGAGGCGUUGCUAUGUCCAGUGGAGGAGAAGACGACGGUGUUUCACGAUUCAAUAUAUCUUUUUUGGUCAUUUUAUAUUAGGGUAAAUUAGUAAUUCAAUAAAUAGUUUGGUAGUAGGGUGUACUCAAUUAAUUUUAGGGGAAUGCUAGCAACCUUAUCUUUUGGACCUUCUCCCUUUUCCACAUAACAUGUGUCCUUUUUCUUACACGUAAAACAAUGUAAUUAAUGCAUCAAACAACCUAACAUUUGUUUCUAAAUCUACCCUUAUUAAAUGUAUUGGUUUUUAUGUUUCCUUAAAUUUAUUAUUCAAAUUUUUUACAGCUUUCUUACACCUUGUUAAAAAAUUAAAUAAGAAAAAAAUUUAGUUUUUUUUUUCCUUUUCUGUAAGACUCCAACAAAUAAGACUUACCUAAUUAAUGGUUUAGAAAAAAAAAUUAAUAAUUAAACUUACCGAAUUAAUGGUUUAAAAAUGCAAUCAAUAAACUUCCUUAGAGCAUCUCUAAGGGAGAAGUCAAAUGCAAAAUUUUAAAUUUGAAUUUGAUGGCUUAUGUGGCAAUUUGACACUUUGAAAAAAUUUAACUCCACCUGAAAUGCCAAAUAUCAUGUUAUUUUAUUAUAUUUUUAAAAGCAAAUGAGACCCAUAUGAUGCAUAAAGUUUUAAAAGAGAGUAAAUGUUAAUGGGGUCUAUGACUAAAAAAAUAUUUGACAUCAAGCUUUUUGUUAUGUUAUUUUUGACAUAUCUCUUCUAGCCUUCAAAUCCAUGUAGGAUUUGACUAUUCGGUUGGAGCAACAUUAACCUUCAAUUUUUGCCAUUUCAUGUCCAUGUAGCAAUUUGACAUAUCGGUUGGAGAUGCUCUUAGAGCACUUCCACCAGUUGACUCUUGCCAUGGCAAGAUUAGCCCUAGGGCAGGGACUAUUCACGUGAAUAGUGGCUGCCCUAGCCCCCUCCAGCAAAAUGUGUUUCCAGCAGUUGGGGCUUGCCAUGGCAAUUACUAUUCAUUUUUUUGUUUUUUUCACAAUUUUGUUUACUUAAACAAUUAAUUUGGAUAAUAUUUUCGGAUAAGAUUUUUGGGUUCCUACGUGUCAAUACUAUUCAUAUCGGAUAAGAUUUUCGGUUUCAAAUUUCAGAUAAAUUUCAAAUUUCAGAUAAAUUUCAAAAUUCAAAUUUCAGAUAAAUUCAAAAUGUCAAAUUUCAGAUACAUUUCGGAAUUCAAAUUUCAGAUAAAUUUGAAAUUUGAAAUUUCAUUUGAAUUUCAAAUUUCAGAUAAGAUUUUCACCCUCUAAGAUUGCGCCGCAUGUCAUAUCUAUCUGUGUACAUUUUUCUAUAAAGUCAGAGGUUCAGCUCAUACCUCCCACACCAGUUCUUCUCUACAUUUCCAUUUCUCAAAUUUUAGAUUUCAUUCUCCAUUCUCAAUGGCAGACAUGGAAGAGGUUUUGGAGAGGCAAGAGCGAGAAACUAGAGAAAGAAUGCGUAGACGAGCUGCAAGCAAAAGGGCGCAGAGAGAACUAGAUGAGCAACUUGGCAUAGCAGUUGCUUUGCUGGAGGAAGAAAAGCAGGCUCGCCGUGGUUCACGAGAAGGCCGUCGCCCAAAUGUGGACAGACAUAGACAUUCCCGGGGUAAGAAUCUUAUGGAAGAUUAUUUUAUCCCACAAUCUCUGUACUCUGAUGUUCAUUUUCGAGGGAGAUAUAGAAUGCAACCCCAUUUGUUCAAUAAAAUCAUGCAUGAUAUUUGCAAUUAUGAUGAAUAUUUUGUUCAAAAGAGAAAUUGUGCUGGAAAUUUGGGACUUCUUCCAGAGCAGAAGUUCACAGCUGUGAUACGAAUGUUGGCGUAUGGGUCAUCUGCUGAUCAGGUGGAUGAGAUUGCUCGGAUGGGGAAGUCCACUAUUUUGGAGAGCUUGGUGCGAUUUUGUGAUGCAGUGGAAACUCAAGUCCAUUUCAAUUCUCAUGGCUUGGUGCUUUGAAAGUUCCUCCAAAAAUUGAGAUGCAUUCUUGCUAGAAUUACUCCCUCUCUUCGCCUUCGCCGCCUUCCUCCCAAUAGGCCUUGGCUCAUUUUCAAUUGGUGAGUCUAGAUUCAUCGGGGAAUCCAUAGAUGAAUCCGAUGCCGGAGUCUCACGAAGUGGAGUCUCGUUCAAGACUACCGUCGGACCGGUUGGAAUAAUUUGGAAUCUCUUACAAGUCUUCACCACCUCCCAACAAUGGGUAUGGUUGAAACUUUUUUUCCCUUGGCCAGUAGCACCAAACCACAUUUGUGCUUGUAUAAUCUAUAAAAAAAAUGAAAUGGAAAUGCAAGAGAAUUUUUAAAAUAUUGGCAAUGCAACAUGUAAAAAAAAACUAAUGGAAAUUAAAGAAAUAAUAAAAAAAUGCAACAUGUAUUAAAAAAAACUAGAGACAUAUUAACAAAAUAUAUAAAUUGCAAGAAACAUUUACAUAAAAAUUAAUAUGACAUAGAAAUUAAUAGAAGAAAAAUGACAAAUAAUUUACCUCAUUGCUAAGAUUUUCUCCGCUUCGAUGGUUGUCAAUCGCUUUUGCUAAGGCAUUUCUCCAUUUCCCCAACUCUUUAUUAAGAACUUUCCACCUACUGGAUAAUGCCAUUUCUGUACGUGUAGAACCAAUUGCCCUUUCACAAAAUGCUUGAUGAAUUUUUUUCCACAUAUGAGAAAAUUUAAUCUCAUUGCCCGUUACGGGACAAUGACUAACUUGGACCCAAGCCUCACACAAGCUAACAUCUUCCAUCAUGCUCCAUGCCCCUCCAUUUUCAUUAGAAGAACCCAUAAUAUGCUAGAAAAAAAAUUACAACUUCAAAGUGAAAAAAUAUUGAAUAGAAAGUGAAUAAAAUUUGAGGAGAAAGUGAACAAUAGUAGAAGGAGAAGAAAAUAUAUGAGGAGUUGGUGUUAAAAGUGAAGAGUAUUGGUUGGUAUUUAUACACAAAAAAUUCUGUAAUUUUUGUGUAUUUUUUUAAAAAAAAUUCGAUUUUUUUUCAAUUUUUUUUGGCAGAAAAAUUGGCUGUCGUUGGAUUGAAGAAAAAAUUCCAAUCGGAGCGACCAGGGGCCGCCACGUGUCAAACAGCCGUUGGCAGCACUGUAGCGCUGAUGUGAAUUUUUUUUUAACGUUGGCGCGUACAAUGCACGCGCCAACGGUAAAAAAAAAUUCAAAACUUCAGGACUGACGCCAACUAUUUUGUCCCAGCCUUCAGGCCCGAGCUCGGGCCGAAUUUGCCUUCAGGCCUGCCCGUUUUGGUGGCCCCCACUCUCGCCCGGGCUGGACUUUUGCUGCUGGACUCCGUUUUUUGCCCAAACCCCCCCAGCCCGAGUUUUUCCAGCCCUGCUGGAAAUGCUCUUAGAAGGACGUCUUUUGUUUGUUUAAAAAAACGAUAUUUCUUUUGUGGAAUUUUUUUUGAGGUCAUUCUUAUGUCUUUUUUUUCCCUCUAAAAAAAAUAGACAUUUUCUUUUUUUAUUUUUAUUAAUCCCUGAACUUAAACCUGAUUUGCAUUUGAGUUCCUCAAUUUCCAAAAUAGUUCCUGUGGUCCCUUAACUUCAAUUUCGUUAGGACAAAUGGUCAUGUCAUCAAUUUUGUUAAUUUUUUCUGUUAAAUGCAGGGGCAAAAUAGUAUUUUUAUAUUAAAACAAAAAAAAUUAUUAAAAAAAAUCAUGUCUUUAAAACACCAAUAAAAUCAAAUCAAAUAAAAAACCAACCAAAAAAAAAAUCAAGUUUUGGGGGAGUAGAAAUCAGGAUAGAGGGGGAGAGAGAGCGUUUAGUUUUAAUUUUAUAGUUUUUUAAAAACUUUAUUCAUAUUUUAAUCAAUUUUGAUACAAAAAUUCCAUUUUCCCCUGCAUUUAACAGAACAGUUAACAAAAUUGACCGCAGAACCAUUUGUCCUAACGAAACUAAAGUUAAAGGACCAUGAGAACCAUUUUGAAAAUUGAGGAACUCAAAUGCAAAUCGGGCAAAAGUUCAGGGACUAUUAAAAUGAUGGGUUAAUUACAGUUUAGUAUCCUAUAGUUACACCCUUUAAGACAUAUUAGUCCUUAUGUUUUUAAUUUUUACAAUCACAUACUCCGAUCUUUUAAAUUUGUUACAAUGUGGUUCUGCCGUUAGGGUUUCAUCAUAUAUCUCCAUUAGUUGCUUACGUGGCACUAUGGGUCCCACAUUUUUUUUAAUUUUAAAUUAAUUAUAAUAUGAAUACAAUAUUAAAAACAAAAAAAUUUUAAAAAUAAAACACACACACACACACACACUCUCUCUCUCUCUCUCUCCUCUGCACUCUUCCCCUCCCUUGCCGAUUUCUUCUUCCCCCAUGAACACCACCCGCAAGCUCCAACCCUCAAACCCAUCCCACAACCACCCUCCACCCCAGCCUGCAACCACAGUCCUGACGAACCUAGAACCCUAGCGCCCCCACCAUCCACCCAGCUCCCAACUACAAAAAAAGAGAAAAAACAAAUCAUCCCCUUCAAGAGGGGAAAAGAGCCACGAACCUGUAAAUAGCACCAAGCAAGAUUUAGCAAGCUAACAAGCCAAAGGUGUGAAAAUCAUAUUUUCUUUAUCGAUUGUUGUUGAUGCUCAAAAUGGCCCGGCCAAUAUUGAGUCCAACUUAGUGAUGAGGUGUGCGAAGUCUUCAGCAGAAAAGAAGGUCAAGACCUUUGGUAAGGGAAGAACCUGCAGAAGACAAAACGGGAGAAGCAAUCGUUAAGCUUGGGACACCGGUGUGGUGCCAGCCGAAGGCUCUCCGAUGCUUAAGUCAGCUACCAGUGGUAACUUUGGCAGAGUAACAGUAAAGGUGAGAAAGUAGUUACCCUUUUCACUUGGGUACUGUUCCCUAUUUAUAGGGAGGUGAAAAUGGGACGUUUGUACAAAGUUUCAAUGUGGGACUUUGUGCAAGUCGCCGUGGUGGCGACACGUGUCCUGGGGAUUAGGUUUGGAAUUGGGAGCUUCGGCAAGUGUCUGGCACCUCGGAAGUGUGUCUUCCUUUGGCAAGGAAGAAGGCGUGGCUGCCUUGGUGCUAGUGGCUUUGAGGCUAGGUAUGCUCGGUUGAUUAUGUUGUAAACAGUAGUCCCCCAAGUUCGCGGUCAAGAAGUAACUUCUGGGUUGGGAACUUGUGAGUUUUUGUGGGAGCCGUAGGGCAUUCCCUAAUCCCCCAAGUUGGUAAGCUAGGAGUUGCGUCAACACAUGGAAUGUACGAUACAAGUUGUGUAAGCCUCUAGGACUGUUGGUAGCUGGGCAUUCUGCAAGGAGGCUGGGAGCUGGGCCCUUAGGUUUUAGGGGCUAUGCUUCAAACACCGGAAGGAUUGGGUGAGUCCCUUUUUGCUUCAGCAGGCCUUGCCGUUUGGCAAGGCUGUUUCGAUAUAUAUACUUUUUUUUUUUUUUUAAAGCUGGGAAGCUAGACCUUCAGCAGGCUAAUGCUUUGAAAAUUUUGGGGGCUCCUUUCGAAUUCCACGGCCCUUGCCGUUCGGCAAGGUCCCAGCCUUUUGGUGAGCUAAGAUCCCAGCCCUUUUUUUUUUUAGACAGUUUGGGGUCUAAAUUGUUUCGGCAAGGGACCAAGAUGCCCUGGGCUUUCGGCUAGCAAGGGCUGGGCCUCAGAAUAAUGGCCAAAAGUCUGGGCUUCGGCAAGUCUUUGGAAAAGGUGGAAUCUGGGCUCCACUUUCAGCAACGAGGCUGGGCUAUGGAAUUUUUUAGACAAAAAGCUGGUCUUUCAGCUCGCCAAGGUUGGGCCUCGAGAUUUUGGCAACAAGGCCCUAGGGUUUGAAGGGGAUGUUCGCAUUUUCUUUUAAUCAAAUCUGCUGUUCGGCAAGGUCAAAUUGAAAGGGAGCUGCGGUGCUGCUCUGCAAGGAUUUCAAAUUCAUUUCCUUGGGGUUUCGGCACAUAUUCCUUCAGCAAGGUCAUUAGAGACCCGAUUGUUUUUGUUCAGCCCUUUGUGUUUUUGGCAAGACCCACGAGGGGGGGUGCGUCCGCCUGCUUUAGCAAGGCCCUUGUCGUUCGGCAAGGGCUGGGUUUCGACAAGAUCUUCGGCAAGACAGUGAUUUUGAGCUGGUUUCGCCCGUCACAGCUUCGAUAGGAGGGUGAUGUUGAGCUGAUCCCUGUGUUGGAGGUUUAGCAAGGGUGGUUGCACCUUCUUGAUUCCGUAGUCCCCACUUGCUUCCGCGUUGCCCUUGCCCUUUUUUUUAGGUCUCCCCUUCGUGAGAGCUAGGUGCUGUUUGAAAUUCGGUAGGUGGCUUGAGCAAGGUUUUAUCGUUCGGUGGCACAGCUUCAGCACUUAGGUUUGAAGCUUUCAAGAACUGUCAGUGUGGGACCUGCCGAUCGGCAAGUAUCCCUUGUGAGUUUGGGAAACACCCACCUUUCGGCAGGGCUUGGUGUCUUCAACCCUUGUCGAACGAUAAGGGCCGUCUGGAGUAGAAAUUUGGGGGCCACUCAAGGAAAUUUUUCACCGUUCGGUAGCACACCUUCGACAGUUUUGGAGAAUAAUUUCAGGUAAGGUCUUUGGAGCUGAGUUACUAUCGUUCCACAAGAGAGCUGGGCAAUUGAGGCUUGGCUUUUGGCAAAGAGUUUUGGUUUCGUAGCCGAGGCUGGGUCCUCCGAAUUUUUGUCGUGUGCUCUUUUAUUUCUGCUCGGCGGCAAGACAUGGGGAAUUUGCUAAGUCUUGACUCAACGAGAGUACUUCUGUCGUAGCUUCAGCAUAGUAUCUAGGAGUUGGGCCCUUGGAUUUAUGUCAAGAACUUUGGCAAGAUAGGGCCGAGAGGUAUUGGAGCUAGGCCAUUGGCGUGGUGGUGGUGCCUAAUCCCUUAACAAGAGCACGGCCACCCUUAAGUACGUGUCUCCAGGUGUUUUAGUGCAGGUGAGUUUGGAACUGGGCCCCUUCGGUCGCCACUUGGUAGCUGGGCCAUCCCUUUGCUAAAGGUAAAAAAUUUUGUGACCUUCCAAAAUAAUUUUCCAUGGGACUUUCCGUUCAGCAAGGCCAGCCUAUUCAAGUUGAAAUGGUGGUAAUUGAUUAUUGUGUUCGUUAGGUGGUCUUGGCUUGGUAGCCGGGCCGGCUUUGGAGCUGGGCUAUUCUUUGACAAGGUUAAGGACUUGGCGCUGGUUCAGAAUUGGACUUAGGCAGCCUUCCACCGAGGCACCGUGGGUUUGGGUCCCUUGUGAGCAUAGCUUCAGCACCCUUGGGACUUGGCUUGAUUCGGCAAGGAGGGCUUGGAGUUGGGUAUCUCGCGUGUCUUCCUUUUCCUUUCACACGACCCUUGCCGUUCGGCAAGGGUGUGGUUUUUUCUUGUGGGCUUUCGUGGACUAAGCCUUUUGGCAAGGGGGUGGGCUGGCCUGAAGUUUGAGUUGGGAAGGCAUAUUCUAAAACCUUGGGACUGGGGCCUAUGGUGUGUGAAGUGAAGCUGGGCCAUUCGGUUUGGGAAGGUUAAGGUGAAAAUUUUCGAGGCUUCCACUUAUGUCUGCACGGGCCUUGUCAUUCGACAAGGUCCUUCCAAUAUCCCUUCUCGUUUUUUUUUUUUGUUUUUUUUUUUUGUAUUUGAAUUUGAAUUUCGAAAUGUGUGUAGGUACAAGAAAUAUUUGAGAGGGAAGUGUGAAGGCGCUAGGGUUUUCUCGUGAACCUAGGCGUGGGUACUCUUGGUUCGUUAUAAAUAGGAACUUGGGGUGGCGAAGACACCACACUUGAGUUGUGGAGAAAAAUUGCUAGAAAGUGAGAAGGAGAAAAGAAGAUUUCUGGCGAGAUUUGGUGGUGGUGCUAGUGGCCAAGGUGAUUUCCGGUGACUCUUUCGUGGUGGUGCAAAUAAGGUUAGACCACAUUUUCCUUGAACGUUUUGAAUUGAAAUGUCUUUCUUUGCAUGAACAUGUUGAAGGCUAGGAAGAACACCUUGAAUAUGAGCAUGAACCUGAUGAACACUUUGAGCAUUGGUAUGAACAUGUUGAAUGCUAGCUUGUACACCAAAGAACAUGUAGAUUUGCCAAAUUUUUGUGUUGUUGUGUUUCAAUCCUCCUUGCAUGUGCAUGAACAUGUAGAAUUGAAAUGUCUUUCUUUGCAUGAACAUGUUGUAGAUGUCUGAAAGUUCUGAUAGAGAAAGUCAUGACCCCCCUGCCUUUGGUGGGGAUGACACUGAGAGUGAAAAGCCCAACCAAUAUCUUUGUUCUGUAGAGGAGAGUUCAGAGACAGAGGGUGUGGUAGAAGGUAUUAUAGAAAGUAGGAUGGUAGAGCAUGAGGGUGAGAGGGGUGAGCCAUCAGUAGACUCCGGGUCAGCUGCAUAUAGGGAGAUGCAGAGGAAUUAUAUAGAGUUAGAGGCUAUAGCGAACCGGGUUCUUACCUUGCCUCAUACGCUAGAGGUGGGUUCAAGCAACCAGGCAUCACCAUCGGGGUCCGUAGGUAUAGCCGUGGCUUUAGUUUCAGAGGGAGUAGACAUUCAGGUUGGUGUCCCUUUGGCGAGGCGGAACACACAUACAGAAGCAAAGUUGGCCCAGCUUUGGACAGACUAUUGUGUUCCACCCUAUGUGGGCUUGAGGUUACCCACUGCAGCUGAUGUAGUUAGAUAUCCUUCGGAUGGCUCUGUGAUGAUUUUUACGGAUAUGUACUGGCAUGGCUUCAAACUACCAUUUCAUCCAUGGGUACAGAUAAUGUUGGCCAAGUUGAGAUGUGUGCCGGGGCAGUAUAGUCCCAACUUUUGGAUUCUUCUACAUGGAGUGUAUAUCACUUGGUGGCUGGCUGGGUUGAGGGAGCCAACAUUUGAGCAGUUCAUGUACUUGUACUCGGUUUUGAAACAACAGGGAAGUUUUGGCUGGGUACAAGCCAAUUGCUGAAAGGCGAAGGAAAGAGGUUAUUUUAUUAGUCACAAGCCAUCUAUGCAAAAGUUCUAGAGGAACAAGUGGUGCAUGGUUUAUGGUGACUGGGAGUGUUCGUCAGGGAAGACCGUUACCCAACACAUUCCUACCCACUUCCAGUCUAUAGGUCCUUGGCCCCAUCCCUUAAGACUGUUUGAUGUUUGAUUUUGUUUUUCCUGUUCUCACUCUUGGUUCUCCAUUUUUGCAUGUGCAUGUGUAAAUGGCUAAGUGGUAUCUAACCUUUAGUGCAGGUUCGGUGAAGUCGGGGCCGAUCUCCAAGGAGCAAGAAGACGAGGUUGAGAGGGUGAGGUUACAGUUAUCAGAGACCGAGCGUGAGUGUCGAAACCUAGUCAGCCAGAAGAAUAUGUUGGAGUAUGGACUUCUGCAAGGAAGUAAGUACCUGGGUCACUUUUGUUGUGUGUCGUCUAAUUCCUUUGUGGUUGUGACUAACGUAGUUGUUUUAUUCGUUUUGUUUUUUUUUGACAGUGGCGGGUAUUAUAAGAGGGAGCACGAAGGUGGUAGUGGAUAUUGAUGAUGCCGAGAUGCAAAAGCGGCUAAGGGAGUCUCGGGCCAAGAAGGCAGAGAAGGGUACUGGAAAGUGCCCCAGGGAUGAUGAUGAGAGCCGGGUUGCUGACGUGCUGGGAAAGAGGAAGGCCUUGGAGGAAGCUCAUCAGCAUGUGAUGGGGGCAGGGCCGAGACUUCCUCCCUUUGAUCUGCAGGCACAGCCGAAGCUCCUCUUCGGCAUGAAGGACAUUUUUGCUGAAGGGGUAGAGAAGGUAGACUUUGGCAAGCUACGUCAGCAGAAGAAAGAGGUGAACUUAGCCACGCACCGGCAAGAGGUGCCCCAGGUGAACGUCUUCCUGGAAGGCGCGAAGAGUGACCCCGAGGCUCUGGCGAGGACCUUGGCCUCUUCCUAUAUAGAUCGGGCCCAGAAGACGAUCCUCACUUCUGCCUAUAUAAGUUGUGACUUUGUUUGUGAAUUUGUUCGUAUCAUUCUUGUUUGGUCUAACUGAUGUUGCUUUGUUUUGCAGGCCUUUGGCGAGAUGUAUGUCAGCAUGGCCAAGGCAGAUAAAGAGAUCCAGAAACUGAAGAGGCAUGAUAAGAUGGCCAAGAGCAAGAUGGUGGAGGCGCAGGAGGCCAUCCGAGAGAAGAACACCUUGUUGUUGCAAAAGGCAGCCCUAGCCAAGGAGGUAGAGGAGCUGAAACGGUCGAAGGCCGAGGAGGUAGCUGCUGCUGCCCGAGUCGAAUUCUUAUGGUAUGAGACUUGUUGUCAUGUGAUAUCAGCUGUGCUAGCAAAAUGAUAAUUAUGUGAGUGAUAGGAAUUAGCCAGAGUCAUGCAUUUCAUUCAAAUAGGUGCCGAAAGGCAGAGGGUACAAGAGUUAGUUGAGUCAAGGCUCAAGACUGAAGUAUAAGAGAACAUAUUGUCCUAGGCUCUAGGUAUGUUUAUUUAUAGUAGUACUUGAGGUGAUCAGCGUUCCAAGGAUGAGGCAAUGUCUUGCCCUUGGGAUCACGAAGCGGAUAAGUGCCGGGAUGACAGAUUUUGAUAAUCUCAUAAGGACCUUCCCAUGUGGGGCCUAAGGUACCUUCAGUAGGAUUUUUGAUGGCUAAGGAAACCUUGCGCAUGACCCAGUCUCCCAUUUUGAAAGCACAGGGCUUGACUCGGGAGUCGUAGUAUUUGGCGAUGCGCUGUUUGUACUCGACAUUGCGCAUGUUGGAUUGGUUAUGGAGCUCGUCAAUGAAGUCGAGGUUCAAGGCUAACGGCUCGUCAUUGGCCUCAGCAUCAUAAGUGGAGGUUCAGUAUGUGGGCUGGCCAAUCUCCACUGGUGCAACGGCUUCGAUACCAAAUGAAAGAGAGAACGGCAUUUCUCCUGUGGAGGUACGGAAGGUGGUGCGGUAGGACCAGAGAAUUUCUGGGAGUAGCUCUGGCCAGCAGCCCUUGGCUUUGUCAAGUUUGGUCUUUAUGGUCUUCUUGAUAAUUUUGUUCACGGCUUCAACCUGGCCAUUGGACUGAGGAUGGGCUGGGGAGGCGAAGCAAAGACGGAUCUUAAGGUUAGAACAAAAUUGUUUGAAUUUUGCAUUUUCAAAUUACUGGCCAUUGUCUGUGACGAUGGUGUUGGGGAUGCCGAAGCGACAUACGAUAUUUUGCUACAUAAAGGUUUCGAUACAGGCUGCAGUGAUGGUGGCUAAGGCUUCGGCCUCAGCCCAUUUGGUGAAGUAGUCUACGGCUAUAACUGCAUACUUGACUUGGCCCUUGCCCUCAGGCAUCAGUCCAAUGAGGUCCAGUCCCCAUUGGGCAAAUGGCCAAGGACUGACCAUGGCUAUCAAUGGUUCAGUUGGGAGUUGCGGGAUGUUGGCAAAUCUCUUACACUUGUUGCAUUUCUGGGUGAAGGCCUGGGCAUCAGUGUGGAGUGAGGGCCAAAAGUAUCCUUGGCGAAUUGCUGAAUGAGAACCAAAUCUAGCCAUACAAAUGUGUCAACAAUAUGAGCUGUACACUUGGCAUAAAACUAGGACAUAUAAGUCCUACAAUGUGUGAUGGCAUCUAAACCUUAUGUAGUGCAGGAGACAGUGGAUUGGUUUGGUUUGCCAUUUUGUUAAUUUGCUGGGUAACUGUUAUAGUAUAGUUGCAGUUUGUUGACUUUUUGAAAUCUGAUUUAUUAAUUCAUUAGUUAUUGUGAUGUUGAUUUAACGCUUGUGGUUACAAAGAAGCUUAUUAUGUAAUGCGAUUUAAUAUAAAGGAGUGACUUUUCCACGUUCAUUGAAAAAUAUGGAAUUCAUAUUGUUGUUGGGGUGAGGUGAGAAUGGGUGGAAAGGAUAGGAUUUUUUGCAUAGAUUUUUUUUUAUUUUAUAUUAUCAAUAAAUUAUUUUUAUAUAUGUGUCAAAUUAAUAUGCAGGAAAUAGAAAUGCCUCUUUUAAGAAAUGGAGGGAAGCAGUGUGCACAAGUUAAUAAACAAACAAGUGAACUUUAAAUGUAGCCAACUACACUAAACAAAAGCCAAGCAGAUUUUUAAAAAAAAUAAUGGUCAUCUACAAAAAGUGGUAAGUAAAGCACAAGAGAAAAACUCUAGCCGCUAAAAAAGAAAGAAAGCUUUAGAUUCGGGAAAACCCCGGAUCUUAUUGGAUCUCCGUUGUUUUUCGACAUUUAAUAUGGACCUAUGUCGAUCUACUUUUCUUUUGGCAAAUAUGUUGUCUCAAAAUCAGAACCCAACAACCUAACCAUUUUCAUGUUAGGUAUAUGUAACAUCCCAUGUAUUUAUCUCUCAAUGUGUACAGCUAUUUAUGCAUGCAUAUUUAAUAUAAAAAAAACAUUAACAAUAAUCGAAAAUGAAUGACUAUUUAUGUUAUCACACACAGGAUACUGAGGUGACCAAGGCACAUGCUUAAUUAGUUUUUCAGUGCAGAUGACUAGAAACAUAACACUAGUCAAGUAAGCACAAAAACUUGCCUUUCUGAAAAAAUUCAGUCCAAUAUAUAAGCUAAGCUACAACAAAAUUGUCUUUAACUUUCGAAAUAGUUGUAUGCGUGCAUGCAUCAAUUAAGGAAUAAAUCACACAGAUGCUAUGCAUGCACCUAACAUGAAAAAAUUUAGGUUAGGUGCUAUUUUUCUUUUUAACUUUAUUUCCUUUCUAGAAAAGAUUUUUAAGGUAAUUUUGCAAUAUUUGUUUGUACAUGGCUCGGCUUACUUAUUUUGUUUUAUUUAAAUAACCGUUUGAUAACCAUUUCAAAUUUAAUUUUAUUCUCCCUAUUUUUCUUCUAUUUAGCACAAAAAAUGAAAAAUGAAACUAAAAUUAAAAUGAUUAUGAAACUAAAAGUAAAAUGAUUAUGAAACGGGCCCUAAGGUUUUGAAAUCCUGCCAUUAUUACUAAACACAUCUAUCAAUUGUUGUUGUAGGAACAAUUAUUAGUUGCCCGCUAUUAGCAUGACAGCGCCGUUGCACUUACUUGAUAGUUUAAUAUUUUUUUAGGUCUCUGGUUCGAAUCCCCACGGUAUCAUAGUUUUGUGUACGUGUGAGAAAUCUUUUUUUUUUUGUAAUUUAGACUAUCACUUGUAUUAAAAAAAAUUUAAAUUUUUAAUGUCGUCCAAUUAUUACUGAAUACAUCAACCAAUUAAUGAUAUCGUUGUUGUCGUAGGCUGAUUUAUUACUUUCUUACAUAGUUGUCAAGUAUCGCCAUUAUGUUGACAAGUUCCGUACAUAGUUGUUACCCUCGUAUUUUAAUCCAGAAAAAUUAAAAAAAUUCUGUAGACACAUGACAAGUUCUGUACAAUAAUACUGUAGACAAUAGUUCUGAUAUUUCUCUCAUACAAUUUUUGUUGAAGUAUAUUUAAUCGUGGUGGUUAAUGGACCUGGAAACAUUUGGCCAAAAUGCACCUGUCAACCACAAUGGAAAUCUGCCCAGAUUGCAAAGCAAGCAGAUCCUUGACAAAACCACCCUUUACCAGAUAAAAUCAAACCUGUCAACAUAAUACCAAAUUGGCACACAGAUUCAAGCCCCUUUGUUUUCACAAACCACCCCUACAGAACAGUGCACUUCAUCUAUAAAAGCACAUGAGACUGGGUUAAUAUGUGCACAGAGCCACCAUCUUUUCUCCUCUAAUUUCUAAGUAGGUCUGGGCUUGGCUUCCAUAGAGAAGAAUAUUAGAAUGGUUAAGGUUUAUGAGGAAUAUGAUUCCCAAGGAGAAGAAGAAAAAGAUGGUCUGAAUAGGAAGAUGGUGUUGGUCUCAAAGAGCCUAAUGGUUCAGAUCAAAUAUCGAAUCGAUGAUUUACCAGAGGUAAAAUAUAUGUCACUUUCGUCAUUUUAUAUUCUAUAUUUAUCUAAUUUUUCACAUAUUUUGUGUUCUCUUGUUGUGCAGUGGCUACUCCAAAACAAAUUAGAGAGGCCAUGCAGGUUGAUUUAGCUCCCUUGUCAAGAGUCAUCUGCAGCUUGCUGGUGGGUUUUGAAUUCUUGUAUCAAAUUAAAUUCUUUUGUUCUUUGUUUUUAGAUUCAUUCUCCUUAACUUCCUUUGGAUUUGUUUAGUAAAUCAAAUUGGCAAUGUGAACACUCCUUUAUGAUACGCUGAGGACUUCAUAGCCAAUACAAUCAUGCUUUGAAAGAGCAAGACCUAACCUUGUUCAAGUCUAAUUUUGGAUGUGCACUCAUGUUCAUGCAGGUUCCCUCUUUCGCCACUGCUGUGCUGGACACAUACGAGAUGAGGCCCUUGAAGAAGGUGACCGAUAAGGUUGGAAGAAGUUGAGGUUACACUCCAAAACCAAUUGGCAAUAAGGGGAGUAAUCCAACUCCUUAUAAACCCUUGCUAGGUUGCUCAACUUUCCAAUGUGGGACUUUUUACCUUCACAUUCUCACAAAGGUAUCCUAAACAAGCUAAUGGUUGAGGUGCAAAGUGUUCGUUGUCGUGUCCCUCCUAAGGGCAAGACGUACGGGUUUCACAACAACUAAGUAACGCAUGUGGUGUAUUUUUUACAUGGUAUAUUAAUUAUGCAUCCAUUGUACGAUGAUGAUAUGGUUAGCAUCGGUAUAAAUGAAUGUAUGCUUGGCUUUCCAAUUCCAAUGCUAUGAAUUGGUGUUUGGAGGGAUGGUGUGCAAGUGGUGUAUCCUAGUGGAUAAGGGCUCGGAUUUUGGGUACAAAACUCUUGAGUGUUUAUUCUUGUACUUGUAUUUUCCCUGGUAUAAAGAAUUUGGUAACACCGUGGACGUAGGCAGGUGUUUUGCCCAACGACAUUAAAUUCUUGGUGUUCUCUUUUAUUUCACAUUAUCAUCAUCUUGCUGCAUUAUUUAGUUUUAUCUUUUCAUCAGUAGUUGCCGUGAUGAGGGGAAUUUUUAAAAUGAAAGAAAAACUUCAUUUAAUAGUCAUUCAAAUACAAAAAUUCGUUGCAACCCAAUACAGUCUAAGCCUUAUUAAAACCUUGCUUUGAAAACUCCCAGUAAAAGAAAUUCGGUCAAAGAAAAAAGUCGUUUAUUUUUGUAAUUUCAAAAGACACUUGCACUCUGGAGCAUGAAAAAGUACUAUGUUUAUCCUUAAUCUCUUGGAAUCCCAAAUUACAUCUCCGGUGGGUUGGAUGCAAUUAUAUGGGGAUGUAAAAUUGCGAAUAUAAUCUCAAACAUUUAACGUUAAAGUAAGAAGAUCAUUUUGAAAAAAACAAGAAAAAGGAAAAAACGAAAAAGGGUUAACCACACCAUUACUUUAUUUAUCGAUAUAACCAAAGUGAUUACAUCAUAAUCAGAUAGGAUAAUAGGACAACACCAAGCAUGGACCCAACAGAAAAGGGAUAUGUGACACCAAAACAAAACCUAGGAAUCUAACAUCCAUAUUUAUUUUUCCAACAAAAGUACUUGAACCCAAAACCAUCUAAAAGGGGCUCGCUAUAGCUCAUAUUAGAUGGAUGAGGUAUCACCUUCAUCAUUCAUUUUCAGGUCCAUUUCCUGCUUUUUCUUCUUCUUGAGUUUCUGUCUCAUCAACAUUAUUAGCCCCUUCCUCAAAAAAUGGUAUAAAAGAGUGUUGCUAUUUUCACCACAUCCCCCCUCCCUCAAAAAAUCUUAUUUCCCCACCCACCGUGUAAAUUUGAAAACACACAAUCUCAUCUUUACACCCAUCAUUAUUCCUAAAAUACCCAUUCAUCAUUGACGGACUGAAUGAACCCACCCCUCUAGUGCUAGCCCCUGCAAUCCCAUCCCCAGGACUCCACCAUCAUCGACUACAAAUGUAAAUAUAAG
Molecule: long non-coding RNA, 56702 nt
Filed under: Prunus persica (peach)
Lineage: Eukaryota; Viridiplantae; Streptophyta; Magnoliopsida; Rosales; Rosaceae
Description: long non-coding RNA (PPER_LNC008237)
Rfam family: MIR6297 microRNA precursor family (bases 6609-6716)
Source: RNAcentral